AAUAUAUAAUGUAUGUGUAUAAAUUUAAUUUUUUAUAUGUUGAAGUAGACACCUAAUAUAUGUAAAAAUUGUGUUUUUUUUAGAAUAAUAUGUAAAAAUUGUGUUGGGAGAGCUAGUAAGAUGUAAGCUUCUUUUUUUUUUUUGUGUUCUCUGGAAAGUCAUAUAUAUCUGCUUUGAUCAUACAUAUCAUUUUUAGAGUGACAAAACAUUUUUAAUAAGUAUAAAUAAUGUAACAAAAUCUUAAUCCUUAAUAAGGAAUUGCAUAGUUGGGCAAAAAGGAAGCAUGGGAAUAACUUAUAUUAUCACAUUGAAUCAUUCUACAAAAUAUUGCAAAAAGGGCUUGGAAAUAAUUAAUGAGAAAUGGUGCUUGUACACCUAAAAAUAUAUGAGCAAUUUUAAUUGCUUGUACAAGCACCAUUUCUCAAUUUUAAUAUAUUGCAAACAAAAAAAAAAAACUUGUCUGAACUAUAAGCAAUUUUAAUUUGGCUACCCAACUUUUCAAAAUUUUGAUUUGGCUACCCAACUUCAAAUGUUUAAGUCCUUGCAAAUAUUAAUUAUCAAAAGAAUUGGAUAGCUAAUUCAGAUUAUUCUCAUCAUUUGACCGGUGAUAAGUGUAAGUUUUAUGAGUUUAUUCACUAUGAAGGAAAUGAUGUUAUUGUAACAGUUGACAACAUAGUUCAUCGAGUGGUAAAUGAAAGUGUCGUGAAGAUAGAGGAUGGAGUCAUCUUGAAAAGCGUUUAUCAUCUGCUCGGCAUGGUGUCUUAAUAUUCUUGGUGAAGUUGAUUAAAUUCAUAUAUGGAGAGUGUAAGAGGCUUACAUGUGGCAGGCAUACUAGGAAUAUUAAUUGGGCUUAAGCAUUUGGGCCAAUGGUUCGAACUUAGCGAGUUAUUGAUGCUAGUAGGCUAGGUUAUUACAAUGCGACAUGCAGUUACUGUAUAAUUACUCUAAAACUGCGAAAGAGCUAAUUUUAGAUUUUUUUUCCACUCUUGAGAUGCCAUAACUAUUUUUUUCCGAAAGAUCUUUUUACUCUUCAUGUGAUGCUCCAAUAGUCCCACAUCAGAUUGAAAAGAAAAAAUGAUUGGGAAUAUAAAGAUUAAGGGCUUUAUACAAUAUUGGUAAUUGGGCUUAAACGCUUUAGGCCGGUGAUUUAGGUCCAAUAAGUUAUGAGGGCUUUAUACAAUAUAAGUUAUUGGUAAUUGGCCGGGCUCCAUCCCCUUCUCAAAUAUAUGUCAUUCUUGGAGCUAACCAACCCCAUUUCCAGCUCCCAUUGAGACUCAGAGAUCGGCGACCCCACCGGCUUGAAGUUCGAGUUAAAGGAUGGAGGUUUUUGCCUUGAGCGAGCUAUUUUUCAUGUUAGGGCUCGAAACUCUAAGUAAUCCUCUUUCAUGUUAGUUUUUUUUUUUUUUUUUUUUUUUUUUUUUUUUUUUUUUUCCUGAUUCUAGAUUUGGAUGGGAUCUUGCGCUUUUUGGUCUUUUGUUUGGUAUGAUUUAAAUUUAAUUUUGGUAUUUUGGAUUGUGCGCAGUCGAUCAUCGCAGCUACCUACAGAUAGAUUGACUAUGAAUAGGGGUGUAAUGUGGGUCGUACUUAAAACCCAGAUAGGAUGGCUACGAGUAGGGCGUGUAAUGUGGGCCGUAUUAAGCCAGCACGACCCACAUUUUUGGGUUGCGACGGGCUAGGAACUAGCGUGCCACGGCCCAUUUUCGAAUUUGGGUUGGGCCAUGUUGGGUUGGGUUUUUCAAAUCCCCAACCCAGCACGAGCCGUUCUAGGUCGGGCAGGGCUCCAGGCCGUCCUUUAUUUAUUUAUUUAUUUUUUUAAAAAAAUGCAUAAAAUUUAAAUAUAAAAAUUAAAUUAUUUUGAAACAACAUUUUUAAUCAAUGUAUAAAAUUUGUAAUAAUGUUUUGAAAAUAAUUAAAAUGUUAAAAUUUUAUUAUAAAAUUAUAAAAAAUAAAUAUUGUUGAACCAAAAUACUCUUUUCAAUAAUUAAAUUUUUGACUACCGGGAAGAACAUUUUGGUCCAAAUAGGAGAUCUUGGGAGAGGCCCAAGGUUGUGACAGAUUUUAGAAAGAGCCCAACCCCAACUGCCACAAGGCAUACCUUAGGUGAAGGGAAACUCUGAACCGGCCCAAACCCCAAGGCAUGAGGACCUAAUCUCAGGCCUUUGCGGUUGGGCCGGGCCGGGCCGACCCAGCAGAUACAGGUUGUGUUGGGUCGGGCCGCGGGCUGAGCUGUCGGUCUCGCAUAGCCCAGAUCCGUUGUAGGCGGUGUCGUGCCGUGCCGGGUCGACAGGCCUAGAAGACUUGUCCGAGCACGGUCCAAUGUAGCGGGUCGGCCCGGCCUGGCCCGCUGUCGUGCCACGAGCCGCCCGAUCCGUUUGACACCCUUAGCUACGGGACAUUGUGGUCAUCAAAUUUCGGGGGCAAUCGACUCUAUGGAAGCAAUCGACCAAGUCUGAAUCCGAGGUCGACCAAACAGUUUUAUUUAUGAGCUUCGUCUUCAACUUCUAUCGAUCCCCUAUGCAACAACAGAACUGUGUGAGUCUGUGAGUUUUAAAUUAAGGUGUAUCUCUUAUUAAUUAUUGUAACUAUCCUCUUAUGUUCAUGUCAGACGCAUAUGCAUUAUGAAUGCCAUAAUCACAUCCGUACAUUCUCAGGAAUUAUUAGGAAAUGCAUCAAAAAUUAGUAGACUCGAUUAGACGUUAUAUUGUAUGGUAUGGAUUUUAUUAUACGCGCCGGCUCGCGCUAGCACCCGCGCCCGCUCGCGCUCCGUGCCCGUCCCGGUCUGCACCCCGCGCCCACCCCGGCUCGCGCCCGUGCCCGUCCGCGCCGGCACAUCCGCUCCUCGCUGGUGGGCCCCACCGGACCCUCCAAACGCAGGGAGAGAACCGUACAGACUCUCAUUUCACUUAUUUGUAUAGAUGUGCAUAUAUACAGAGGGAUAGCAACAUGUUAUGUUCAUAUGUAGCUAGCAUAUUACAUCGAGUAGGGUUUGUCCAGUUGAGACUUGGUUAUGAUUAUGGAUGAGUCAUGUAUGAUGCCGGUUGGGCACAGUACAGUUGGGGUAGUUUGUGUGGCAUUGUGAGAGCUGCCAUAAUAAACAGUAAAUUAAGUUUUUCUCUUGAGUAUUGAUUUUGUAUAUGUGCCGGACAGAGGCCCGAGGAUUUUUGGUAGAGUCAAGAACUUGAGAUAUAUAGGAAGCGAUAUGAUUAUGUGUAAUCAUCUGACUCAAAAAAUAAAAAAAAAAUCAUUCAGUGCUUAUUAGUGAUAGUGUCGUGGUCAUGAGGUGGAGUGAAAAUUAAUUUAGAAUAGAAUACAGCAAGGCGAUGCACGCCAAGUUCAGUAGGUCUGGAUAUGACCUAACGUUGCUAAGUGUGUUAGGGCUAGAUCUGAUCCUAACCUUCAUAUUUAAGGAUAGUCAAGUACGGGUAAGGUGCCAGCGGGCGAUACUCUGCUGGGCAACACUUUUCAUAUCAAAUUAGUUGGGACGGUCGGUGUGUUUCAGGGUAGCCGAAUACAUAUUGAACUAGAGAGAUACGAUUCAAAUAGUAUUAACUGCAUGUUGGGAAUCCGGUACUCCUCCUGGUAUCGGAUUUUGUGAAUCCGUAACCGGCUCCGAUACUCACUGCUGUGUAUUCGGUACCGGUUGUUGGGAUUCCGCAACGGAAGUGUCGAAUCGGAUUUUUACCAUAAACUCGUCUUCUCAGCAAAAACUGAUAUAAUCAUAAAAAAGGAAAAACAACCAAGCAGAAAAUAUGCGGAUAAAAUAAGAUUCAUUAAAUAAGAGAAAAUUAUACCUGACUUCUCUUCUGCAACAGAUUAGCUACAAUUCCAAGUCCUUUUUUUGAAUCUCUCCUAUCCUUCUCUCGUCUUUUAUAGUCUUAGGAGACAUCUAUCUCAUCCUUUGCAUCCGUGCAUAAGGAAUACCAAUGACCCGCGGCUACGAAAUUCGUUUACGUCCUCUUGCACUCAUGCAUUAGGUGCAUCCAAAAUUAUGAUCACCUUAGCCAUGCCAUAUGGAUGUGGCUAAUCUGUACCACCACCACCACAAUAAUAACACAUAUGCUAUAUUUAUAGCUUACAUAAAAAAUUACCGAAAUUCUAAUCUAAUUAGAUUUCUACUCUCAUUAAUAUUUAAAUCUUAAUUUGUCUCCAACAGAUUUAAAUACAAAUUCUAAUUCAAUUAAAAUUUAACUAUAAAUUUAAUCAAAUCCUAACAUUAACAAGGAUGAAUAACAUAUUCCAGCAUUGGUCAAGUACAUUAUGAUGAGUUAUUCAUGAUGCACGGUGUUAAAGGUAGGAGGUGAUAGACAGCCCAUGUGCAUGUUAUUAGUUGGCCCAGUAUUGGAGUAUUGGAGGUCCCUGUGUGUCAUGAUUGCAGAUUGUUGUCAAUAUCAGAGGGGCAUGUAGACAUCAGUAUCAUCAGUACAUGAGAGAAUUUGGUUUAGUUUAUAUCAUUCAAUAGAUGCAUUUAAUUAGUACAUAUUCAUUAGUAUAUUGGUAAAAUAUAUUACGUGUAUAAAUACUGAACGCAUAAAUCAAUUAAUUGAAUAUUAAUUUUUUUAAGAUAAUAUCCUAAUCACCUGAGACAUGUGCCCAAUCUGGUAAGCGAACAUGACUAGAUGGCGAGCGGAGAGGAGAUUAUGUGGCGAGAUGGUACAGUUUCAGUAAUAUGUAUUUUAGGAAUAUGUUUAGCGGAUAGGAUUGGAUGGUAAGCGGAGAGGCGAUUGAGAGUAUCUACAGUACAUGGUAGAAAAUGAAGGACCAGAACUGUAACUGUGGAAACAGUUACAGCAAAAAACUGUAAAUGACUCAAACUGUGAAACAACCGUUGUACUCUAAAAGCUUAAGCUAUUAGAGAACGGACGUAUGGGAGACUUUUUAAUCUGCCGAUGACGUGGGCUUGAAUUAAAUGAGAGGAAAUUAAUAUGCUAGAAGUCUGGCGUGAUUCGAACUCAGGACCUCCUGCUCUGAUACCAUGUGAAACAACCGUUGUACUCUAAAAGUUUAAGCUAUUAGAGAACGGUGUUUAAACAUUUUUAUAUUUAACAAAAACAAUUAUAACCGAAUUCCAUAAACAGCCGAAGCUGAAACCCAUAUCCACACUUUGCUCAUUAUAAAUAGAGGGGGAUAAGAUGUAAAGGAUUUUAUUGAAAAAUAAUAAGAAGAAACUUUCCUUUCUCUUCUUUUUUAUCUCUUCCUCGCUCAGAGCUCUCCAGGGAUCACCAUUAUUGAUUCCUCUGUGCUCAAGCCCUUGUUGUUGACCUGCAUCAUUGGUAUCAGAAUUCCAACUUAUUGGCUUAAAUGGGCCAACAUCCUGCCCUGUGGCGGGGGGUCAUGUGGGUCGAGUCAUGUUCGAAAUGGCGUGAGGCUGGGUUGGGUCGAGUCAUGUUCAAAGUGGCGUGAGGCCAGGUGGGUCAAGUCACAAUCGAGACCCGUGGGCGCUGUUUCUGUACACUUUAAGUGAAUUGGUUGCGUAUUUCUAACAGCUCGAGCUUUUAGGAUUAAUGGUUAACGCCAACAAUCUGACAAUGGUAUCAGAGCCAGAGGUCACGGGUUCGAUUUUUGCAUGCUGCAAAUGUGUGCAGGUGCUGGAGUGGGGAUUAUUGGCUUAAAUGGGCCAGCAUCCUGCCCUGUGGAGGGAGGUCAUGUGGGCCGAGUCAUGUUCGAAAUAACGUGAGAUUGAGUUAGGCCGAGUCAUGUUCGAAGUGGCGUGAGGUCAGGUGGGCCGAGUCAUAAUCGAGACCCGUGGGCGCUGUUUCUAUACACUUUAAGUGAAUUGAUUGCAUAUUUCUAACAGCUCGAGCUUUUGGGAUUAAUGGUUAGCGCCAACGAUCCGACACAACUUAAUUUCUUUCACUCUUUGCAUUAAGUCAGUGGUAACAGCUGAUACUGCAUCAAUGCUAGGCCUCCUGGAGAGUGCAUUGGCAACUAUAUUAUCCUUUCCAUUCUUGUAGACUAGCUCACAAUUAUAUCCUAUUAAUUUUGCUAGCCAUUUUUGCUGGCUGGGAGUAGUAAUUUUUUAUUUUCAGAAAAACUUUAAGCUUUGGUGGUCGGUAUUUAUCAAAAAGUGCCUAAAGAUGUAAGGUCGCUAUUUUUGUACUGUCAUAAUAAAUGCUAGCAUUUCUUUUUCGUAAGGAUAAUCGAUUCUGAUAAAAUAACACCAAUUAUAACAAUCCGACUCACUACCAAUAAUAACUCGUUGGGUCCAAAAUUUUUAAGUUCAUUUAUUAUUAUUUUUAGGGUGCGUGGUCUUUUAUAUUUUCAAUAAGAAUUUUUUUUUUUCAACUGAUGUGAAAUUAUUGAGGCAUUACAAUUUAAGUGAUAACAUGUUUUCUCACUUUCCUAAAUUUUUUAUAAAAAUUUAAAUUUAAAUUUGAAUUUGAAUCUUAUGAAAGUGAACGCAUAUACGAUCAGAACAGAGAAGGUUUGGUCCGCGCUAAGUAAUUCAGACUAAAAGCAAAGAAGAACAAUCCUCGCAUAUCCAUUCAACAUGUAGACUACCACGUUAGACUAAAUGUGUGAUGUGGCUAAUUUUAUCACGUUAGAUAAUGCUUUAUGUACCUCAAAAGGGUCCUGUAUUAUUUUGGUAAAUUAUUCUUAAUAAGUUAUUUUGUACGUAGAACAAUCUAUAUCAGUUUAGGAGGUGUUUGUUUCCUCUGAUAGCUCGGAAAAAAAUUUAAAAAUUUUUCAGAGUUUUCGUUAUUUGGAUAAAAACUUAACUCUGAAAACGAAAAUACUAAUUUUUCAUAGAAUAUGAAAAAAACUAAUUUUUUUUAGAAAAUCAAAUAGAUAGAAAAAUAUUUUUUAGCGAAAAAAUUAUUUUCCGACAUAUUUUAUAGGGAACCAAAUACACCCUUAGCUUAUGUAAUAAACAUAUUCUCAUAUGGCAAAAUUUAAUAAAAAGUUAGCCAAAAUGCCUGUGUACAGUGCUUAACAUUCAUUAACUAAAAUUGUGUGUCAUCUUCGGAGGAAUAUUCUUUUCUUUUCUUUCUUUAAUUUUUUUUUUUUUCCUUUCCCUUCUUUUGAAAAGUCUUUUAAGUAUUAUCUAUAAUAAAAUGAACUUAAUGAACAAGGAAUUAAGAUGAUUCUAUUUCAUAUUUGCCCUAAUAAAAGUGAUCUCAAAGUGAUGAAGCAUUCUUUUUCUUUUUUUUUUUUUGUUCCUCUUUUUAAUUAGUUGACUAAUGCAAAAUGAUAUAUAUUUUUUUCUAGUCUUUUUUAUUAAACUUGUACUUUUGUUGACUACAUAAAACUCUAUGCAGGUUAGUUAGUGGUUGCAAUUUAAUUUCUGCGUCUUUAACGAACAAGCCACUUCUCCAAACUCAAUUAUUUGCAUUAUUUUUGUGUUUAGCUUAUUAAUUAAGUUCAUUAUUGUCACUAAAAAUAGUACUUUUCCCUAUAUAUAUAUAUAAAGAGCUUUUCCCUAAAGCUUCUUUUUGGGAAAAGCAGUUUAUGAAGCAUCCUCUCUCCAUUAACUUGCUACCAAAGUAUGAAACUAUUGGUUGCAGGUGGUGUUUAGAGAUCUCCUUAAUUGAAUGCUUAGCUUGCACCCCAUUUUUUUUCUUUUUUCUUUUUUCUUUUUUUUUAAAAUUUAUUUUUUGGUUGUGUUUUGUGUGUGUGUUGGUGGAAUUGCUUGGGUGAAGCACUUAUAUCUCUUGAAUAUAAAUUAAUCUAUUGCUAAUAAUAAAGGAGAGAAAAAUAUACUUAGUGUUUUGUGUGUUUCACAUGCUAAUUUUCAUUAAUUUGGUGGAGGCAUGCACUAUUGGUUGCUUGAGCUUGGCAUAGCUACAUUGGUGGAAUGAAAAAGGAGGUAGGCAAUGAGGAGGAAGUACUCUUUUUAUUCAAAACUAGUGAAGGACCUGCACGUUGCAGCGGAACGAUUUCGUAAAAAUAAAUAAAUAAAUAAAUAAAUAAAAUAAAAUAAAAAUAGAGUCAAAGAAGUAUAUAUAAAAAAAUUAAUUGAAAAAUAAGCAAUUAUUGCUGCAAUAAAAAUAUAAAAAUAAAUUAUAAGAAGGACUAAAAAAAUAAGGACAAAAAUUAUACGAAUUUGUUAUCUUGACUAUUAAAAAUCAUGCAAUAAAAUUUUACAUUUAUUUGUUAUAUUGACUAUUAAAAAAUAGAAUUAAUCCAUGUAAUAAAAUUUUACACUUGAUUUAAACUAAAAUAAAAAAGAAAAGAUGUUAGGAAAAAAAUAAAAAAAGAAAGUAAGAAAGUGAGAGAGAGAGAGAGAUUGAGAGUGUUGAGAGAAAGAAAAUAAAGAGAGAGAGGGAAAAAAAAAAAGAAGGUGGGCCCGCCGCCCCCUCCCAAAAUGCGGGGAGAGCUCUUUAGGCUCUGCUUUCAUGUAUUGUAUAGAUAGAUAUACUUAGAAGUUGUUUCAACUCCGAAGAUUAUUUGAAUCUUUGUUUUUCUAGUAUCAAGAAAAGCAGGCGAAUUACAAGUAGCUUGGUAUUAAUUUCAGCACUUAUGUUCACGUGUAUUGUCAAUAUAAGAGAUAAUAAAGGAGACGGCAAAAUGUAGACAGAAAUAUGAUCUUCUAUGUGGGAAGGAGGCUUAGGACAAGCUCUAAUAUUGUGUGCUAUACGAGUGGGCUGGUAUGCUUAUAUGGAAGCACGCGAGCCUCCGUGCUUCCAAGUUGUUUUCGAUGUUCGACUUUCGAAUCGACGAUCGGCUUCGUUAGAGUUGAUCUAGAGUAUUUGAAGUACCUAGAAAAAUAAAUUUUGUGAUUUUUCGAUAUUAUUUGCCUAGGAUCGAAGGGGCUCAAAAUCAAUAAUUUUAACGGCCGUGGAGCCGGUUGCAAAUUUAACGGUGUAAGAAUAUCCAAAUCACAUAAAAUUUUGACAGAGAUAAUUCUUUAUACUAUAUAAAACAAGAUCAAUAACUUUGAUCUAAAAUUUUAAUGUCAUAUCAUCAUAUUUUGUAAGAUUUUUAUUUUCAGCCGUUGAUUUUGAGCCACUUCGAUUACUAGGCAAAUGAUAUCGAAAAAUCGCAAAAUUUAUUUUCUAGAUACUUCAAAUGCUCUAGAUCAAGUCUAACGGAGCCGAUCGUCGAUUCGAAAGUCCGAACAUCAAAAACAAAGUGGAAGCACGGAGCCCUCCGUGCUUCCAUAAGCAUCCUAGCCGCACUCCUGUGCUAUAUAAAUGAUCUAUAGUGAAAAAUACACCGCAGUAAGUUGGCUUAAUUCUAAAGAUUUGAGUCCAGUGGAAUUGUAGAUCUGAUCCGCAUUAUCUUAAUUUCAUUCAUGAUUCUAGUGAGAUGACUUGCUACAUUUUUACCAAGAAUUAAAAAGAUAAAAAUGGUGAAUCAAAAAUAAAACGAAAAAUCGUAUCGUUAUUAUUAGUAUUAUUAAUUGUACUCGGAGAAGAUGGGGAUGAGGGAGGCGGCAGCGAGGAGUUCCCCGUGGUUCCUCCUCCGUCCAUCUCCUCUCUCUCUCUACACUCUCUCUUUCUCUCUCUAGAUUCUCUCUCUCUUUCUCUCUCUUCUUCUUGGUGAGUGGUGGUCGUGUUUGUCUCCGUUUUGUCUUGAGGAGGACGACGACGAGAGUGGCGGAGGAGGAAGACGACGAGACCGACGAGAGGGAUAGUGUUGGAGGUGGAGAUGUAGGAGGUGGUGGUGGUCUGGGAGGAGAUGAGGCGAGGUAGAGGUAGAGGCAGAAGAGUCGGCGAGGUGGAGGCAGAGGAGCCGGCGAUCAAGUUGGGAGAAAAAGAGGAUAACUUAAGGGAUAAGCAUAAUAAGGUAGGGGUAAAAUAGGUAUUUUAUAUAGAUUUUAACUCUAGUAUAUAUUUAACACAUGUUUAACCCGAGUUAAGCUAACAGGGGAUAACUGCGGGGGUAUUUUAGAAUAAUGGUGGAACAUAUGAGGGGCAUUUUCGAAAAAAAAAAUAGGGGUAGAUCGGAUAUUUCCAGACGCAUGAGGGGUAUAUAGGCAAUUAUCCCUAAUAUAAAAUAUUAGUUUUGUCAAGUCGUGCGUGUAUUGUCCUAAAAGAAAAAAUUGCCUCUCUAAAUAUAAGGUGGGUAGGGUGGUUAGCAGAUAAGCAAAAAUACAAAGAUUAUGUUUGUUGGGAAUCCGGUACUCAUCCCGAUACCGGAUCUCGUGAAUCCGCAACCCGCUCCGAUACCGACUGCUGUGGAUCCGGUAUCGAUUGUUGGGAUUCCGCAACGGAAGCGUCGAAUCGGGUUUUUACCAUAAACCCGUCUCCUCAGCAAAAGCUGAUACAAUCAUAAAAGAGAGAAAAAAAAAUCAAAACAGAAAAUAUGCGGGUAAAAUAAGAUUCAUUAAAUAAGAGAAGAUUACACCUGACUCCUGUCCUGCAACAAAGUAGCUACAACCCGAGUUCUUUUUCUGAAUCUCUUCUACGCUUCUCUCGUCUUCUAUAAAAUCCACAAAGAAGACCUCUCCACGUGCACCCGUGCACAAGGUGCACUAAAAUAACUCUCUCUCUCUUUUUCUCUCUCUGGUACGACACCCCAAUGGUUCCAGCUGUACUCCCCUAAAAAAAGAGAGCCACAAUGCCUAUUUAUAAUGCUCAACUUAAAACGUACCCCAAUCCUAAUAUAUUUAGGAUUCAUACUUUAAUUAAUAUCUAAAUCUAUCUUAAUCAAUCUCUAAUAGAUUUAAAUAUUAAUCCUAAUCUAGUUAGGUUUAUCCUCUAAUUAAUAUUUAAAUCUUAAUUUAUCUCAAACAGAUUUAAAUAUUAAUUCUUAUCCAAAUAGGAUUUAACUACAAAUCUAACCAAAUCCUAACAAUGUUUUGAUGAACCCUAAAUGUGCACGGUAUUAAAAAGUGAAUAAAAUACAAUGAUUACAAUAGAGUGCUAAAAUACAAAGAUUACAGUAGAAUGCACAAAUCUCUUCUCUUCUUCUUUUUGAGAGAGACAGAUAGUAUGCUACCUGCUUCAUUUAUUAAGUAAAUUAAGCUACACAGAGUGAGGCAGCUGAGGCCUCAAGAAAACAAAAAAGUCAAAAGAACAAGAAAAAAAAACCAGGUACACAACAAAAACAAGCAACAAGAAACGAUGGGUGUGACUAACACCAACUUCACACAGCUCUACAAAAAUCGGCUCACUCCUUCGCCAAAAGUUUAAUACGGUAAGGGCCCGUUUGUUUUGGUGUAAGUGGAGUGAUGGAACUCAAGUUCCAUCACUUCCGUUAUUUGUUUUGAUGCAAGUGAAAAAUAUAAUGUAACUCAAGUUACGUUAGAGCUCCACAUCACCUACUCUCGACUUCCUCCUCUAAAGUGCCGAACUCGACUUUCACUACACUCAACCUUCUCUAAAAAAAUUUAUUAAACAGUAAAACCUAAACUCUACUUCGUUAUAUAGGGUUAGAAUUACCUUAUUUAUAAUAAAUUAGGAUUAUCUUUAAAUAAUAAUAAAAAAUUAAUUAUAUAAUAGAUUAAAUUUUAUAGUGGUAAAUUUACUACUAUAUUUAAGAGAUAAUGAGAUCCACUUACUUAUAUCAAAACAAACAACGGAACUCAAAAAAUUAAUUUUACCAGUACUAAGUUACAUCAAAACAAACAACAGAAGUGAUUGAAUUUAACUUUCAGGCGGUACGAGUUACGUCAAAACAAACAACAAAAAAAUAAUCACACUUCAGGGAAACUCAAACACCACUACACUUGACUUACGUUGAAUCUAUAAAUACGUCAAUCCAAACGCCCCCUAAGCAGAAGAGGUAGCAUCCAUUUGGAGGUUCCGAAAAAUAACAUUGUUUCUCUCACUCCAAAUUGCCCACCAUGUAGCCGCCACAAGAAUCAAGGCUAUUGCGGUGUCACCUACUGCCCCCUUCCCUGCCAGCGCCUCGCAAACGGUAUUGACAUCCUCCAUGGAGGUGAAAACGUGAGGGUCAUCCAGAAGUGAAAUAAAAAAGAAUCUGUUAACAACACAUUCUACCAACAAGUAGUCUACUGUCUCCAGAUUAUCGGCACACAAGACACAUGUGUUAUUUCUUGACCAGCACACAAGACACAUCUGUUAUUUCUUGACCAUCCCCUUUUAAUCAAAUUAUCCACAGUAGGUAGUCUCUUUUUUAAGGCUUAAUUUUUGUUGGAAUUUUCUAAUUCCAGAUGGCAGACGUCAUGAUAUCUUUUACAUCCCCCGUCCCGAUGUGCGAGUACACAGAUUUGACUGUAAAGUUAUUUCCAGAGUACACAGAUUCCAGAGUGCACAAAUCUCUUAUUUGUCAUUUCAACACUUCUCUUCAGUAUUCCAUCUAGGACUAAACUAUAGAAUAGUGUUUGGAGCACCGAGCAAUUCCUAGUAAAAUCCAUCAAUUAUUAGACCACUCGAGAGGUCCAUGCAGCAAAUUAAAAUUUUAAAUCGCAAAAUAAUAAUACUAUAGUUACUAGUCCAUAUAGAAAUUUGAAAAAAUAGCUUUCAUUGACUUUUCUUUGCAGCAAAAUCAAAUAAUUUCCCACUUAGGUAACAUGCGCAAGUGUUUAUUUUAUUUUAUUUUAUUUUUUGCGAUGGAAGCUCAGGUGCUUCAUAUUCGAAAAUUUUACGAGUUUCGCGAAAUCAAUUUAAGGUUGAAACUCAAUAUUGAGUUUAGUUGCUUCUUCCAGAUCUCAAAACUUGAUGGGUAAAAGGGGUUUGAACCUAACCUAACCCAGUUUUACAAAAAGCAGCUAACACAAGUUCAAUUAAGAUUCAAACCAAGUUAAACAUAAACUCGAGUCGAACCUAAUCAAUAAUUAGCACCUGUCUCAGCCACACAUAAGAGACCACAAAUACCACAAUUUAAUCCAUUAAAUCCACCCCCCCUACUGAUCCCUAUCUACAACUGUACAAUUCGAAAAGAACGGCUAGAGAUCGAUAUCCUCCCAGGUCGCAACGGCAACGGGGACGCACGUACCGAAGAGGCAGUUUCGGCACGUGGGGCACGUGGGCCGAGCCGCGAGCCACCGGUCGAUGCACCGCACGUGGAACCCGUGGUUGCACGCGGGCAACACCCGCACGUGCUCCCCGUGCACGAACUCCGACAGGCAUAUCGCGCACUCCGACGACCCAGCCCCGGCGAGCCCAAGCCCAGCCGUAUAGACCAGGGCCGGGAGGGCGCGUAAAGCGUCCUUCCUGGCGGCCCGGGCAGUUUUAGUGGGCCGGCCCAAUGGGCCGGGGGGCUCGCGGUGGUAGCAGGUUGGGCUCAUGAUGCGAAGGACGCAUCGGACGAUCGCACUGAUUACCAGCACGCAGAUGAGGCUGCAGAGGAGGAUGGAGAGGACGAGGACGAUGCUUUCGUUAAGGGAAUUGAAUGAACUGGUCUUCACUUGGUAUCGAACAGUAUCGGACUGGGUCGGACCCGAAGCCGGAUAAGUCGGGCUGGGCGGUAAGUUGUAAAGCAGGGUGUUGGGCAAAAGUUUCCUAGAUUGUGCUUGUACUUCCAUGAGAAGCGCUUUGGAGUUCGGAUUUUGAGAGAGAGAGAGAGAGGUGGUAGAGUGAGAAGGAAAGUUCUUGGAGAGUGGGAAUGAAAGGGAUUUAUAUAUAGGAAUGGAGAGGCUAAAGCAAGUGUGUAAACUAUUGUGAUUUGAAUAAUGGAUAGCAUAAGUUGUACCUUAGAGGGUGUUAGCUAAAAGCACUGAAAACAUGUGUAAUACUGUGGAUUCAGCUCAAGUCAACAACAAUAGGGGGUAGUUGAGCACUUCAAAUGUGGGAUCUUUGAAUUGGGGAGCAGGCCCCAUUUUUAGGUUUACUAACUUUGGAAAUUUGUGUCCUAGGGCCUAGAAAAAGACUAAAAUAAGUGGAUGUUACGUGUGUCUGUGUUUUAACCGCUCAUUUUGUUGGUGCAACUUUAGAAAGAUGUAAUCGAUUAUCCUUAACAUAAAUAAUAAAGGACUGAAUAGUUAGUAUCUGAGAUCUUAAUAUUGAAACUUAGUUGUUUUAUAAUUUUAGUUAAUUUAUGUUUUUUUUAAAAAAUAAAUACAGCAGAUAUAAUGCUAUCUUUCUAUCUCUCGUAAGAAAAAAGAAGAAGAAGAAGAGAUGUUCGGUUUACUUGAAAAUAUUGUAAAAGAUAGUUUUCUGAUGAGAAAAGUUAAUAAUAUUUUGUUUAUUUUUUAUUUACUAAUAUUGCUCCUGGAUUUCAGCUAAUAUCAUAAUAACUCUCUUGCAUUAAAAAUUACAUCAAUUCGAUCAACUGUUGAUUUUAGAGUAACUGUUGAUUUUGGUUGCAUAAUUUUAUAAAUGGUUAAUUUCAUACAAAUUCCUACAAACAUAGUGAAUAACAAAUAUAUCUAUAUAAAGUUAAGCUUUUAUAUGUUGUAUCUACAAAAGUCCUGAUAUUUUCAAAUUUGUCCUUAUCGUUAGAAUCCGUUAGAAAAAUUUAGUUAGCCAUAGGUUAAAUAUUUAACCCUGAUUAUUUUCUGACAUUUUUAUUCCUCUUAUAUAAUACUGUUAUGACUUUUAGAGAAUAUAUUUGUGAUGGCAAAAUUAAAAAUAUACACAGUUUUCUAACGGUUCUCUAACAAUAAUAAACCAGAAGGACAUAUUUGAAAAUAUCAGAAUUUUUACAAGAACAAUAUAUGAAAAUUAAACUUUGUAGGAAUAUAUUUGUUAUUCGCUAUAUAUAUUUACAAGAACAUGUAUAGAAUUAACCAUUUUAUAAAAGUGACCUAACAAAGAAAAAAUUUACUAAAAACAGUAAGCUGAUAUCAUAUGCCAACCAGUUUCUAUGAAGUUUCUACAAUUAAUCACAUCCAAAAAUCAUCUCAAUUUGUGAACUCAUUUGAGGUAGAGAAAAAUACAGGAUAAAAAAUAAUAUACUACUUAAUAUAGAAAAAUAAUUGAGAUAUAAGCUGAAUUGCAGAAAAUGAUUAAUUAGAAUCCGUAGUUAUACAACCCUAGUUUCAAUUGUUCUCGAACCGGAUGAUAGGCUCAAGUCAAUUUGAUCUUUAGAUCAAACGCACGUUGAACUCAAUACACAGAAAUGAACCAUUCGUAUUAGCACCCGAAUAUUAUAACUGAUUAUAGCUGAGCGUAUACCUAUACCCUAAGGUUCAUUUUACCGUAAUGAUCACGUUUAAUUUAUUUUAAUCUUAAUCAUAGUCCCCAACAAUAUUUAAAUGGAAACAAGGAGUAUACUACAACUUAAAAGCUCAAUAAUCCAACGCGCACUAAGCUGUAUCAUUUCCAAAUUCUAAUUAAAAAGUGUACAUAUCCGGGAUUUGGAGCCUCCACUACGAGAACGCGCGACGAGGCAAGGCCCAAUGAGAGAACGCCGCGUGGCAGAAGAGGCUGUGAGCUGGCGCUGACGUGUCGACACGCGGGUGGGCGUCAUGUGCACACGUGGCGCGACGGGCCGUUGACGUGGCAAGUGUCUGAGUUGGGCCCAGUGUUUAAAGGCCCAGUUAUAGCUCUUGUAGCUCUGUUUUUGUAUUGGUUAUAAGAUUUAAAUUUGUGAUAAAAUAAUUAACUUUUGAGAUAUUAUUAUACCAGAGUUGAAUUGUAAUGCCGUAAGAAUAUUUUUAGUUACUUCGUAAUUAAAAAAUUUAAAGUAUAUUAUUUUUGUAUUUUGUUGAAAUCAAAAAUAGCUGGAUUGUUUGUAUUUGGGAUGAAAAAUUUAUCUGACUUUAAGGGACUGCCGUUGCAUGUAAUUAUAACUGCAUGCAAAUUUAAAUAAGUAUUUGAUUUAAUGUAUUUUAGUUCAACUGCUGAAGCUGAAACUCCUCGACUGCAACAAUUAGAAUUAUACCAAAAUUAGGCGCACUUCCAAUUGUAAGAAUUAGUAAGGACAACUUUAAACAAAAUAUAAGCUUAUCCAUUUAAUCAUCUUUUAAACAUAGGAAUUAUUAUUUUUAUUAUUAUUUUUUAUUUUAUUUUAUUUUAUUUUUUUUACCUUUGGGGACAACAUCACGGCCCGUCCCAUGUUUAAAAACGAAGCAAUUCUUAUAUAAAAAAUUUUCAGCUAUAUAUAAUCAAACAAAUUAUUUACUAUUGCUGUAUUUUUCACUACAUCCAACCAAAUUAAAUAUACCUAAUUAUAACUGUUGUAUUUUUAAUGAUAUAAAUCUUUACAGACACUGUAUUUAUAAUUAUGUUCUAUCAAACAGCUUCUAAAUCGUAAUAAAACUAUUUAGUGCAUUUGGUUGGUAUCUUGGAUCGCUGGUUAGGAAGUUAAGGGUUUAAUUAUCUACAAUGUUUUGAAAAAUAAAAUACAAAGACUAGUUAAUUAGCAAUAAAAUAAAGAGGAAUAAAACUUAAACUCAAAUUUAAAUAAAUAAGAAAAGGAAAAGGUUAGUGUUAGUGAUUGGGGUUUUUUUUUUUUUUUUUUUGGGUCUAAGCGCUUGAUUUGCCAUAAAAAUAGUGCCACCUAUCAAUAGGCGUUCGACAACUCGGCUGCUGACGUGUCAAUUCCCUGUUUGCCAAAAAGCAGGGACCCGUUCUCCACGUCAGCCAAAAAGCACUCCACGUCAUGCUUCCACGUCACACGUUCUCGGCCCCACUCCUUCCACCACUCUUUAAUUGACACGUCGGCAUUUAAAAAGAAUAGCCGUUGCGGCACAGCUGACCCGCACCAUGGGGUUUAAUUAGUUGUGGGACCCACUCCUCAUUACGGUUUUUUUUUUAAUUAUUAUUUUAUUAUAUAUAAAAAUACGUAUUUUUAAUUUUGAUUUGUAAAUAGAUUUAUUUUUGGCGGAAUUUUUUUAAUCCAAAAUAAAUAAUAUAAUUAAACCAAUUUUUGAUUUAUCUUUUUUUUAUCUGGUUUAGACAUUUAGGUUAGUUUUUCUAAUAUAAAAGAUCGUAGCAAAUUAAGUGAUUAGAGGGUUUGAAACUCACCUAUAAAGAAAACUAAACUAAGUUUUAUAAUAGUACGAAUGAAAAUUCUAAUUUGAAAUUACUGUUUAGCUUAUUUUGAAAUUCUAAGAAAUCGUUGAAAGAGAGUACUUUAAUAAAAAUCGACUGAUGCUUUCUAAAACACGCGAUUUAGCAACACUUUUUAAAUAAAAUUUAGUCGGGUACGCACGUUUAUAACUUGUUACUUUGGUUUAAGUUUAAAGGUAUAUAUAUAAAAAGGACCAAUGUGAAUCCCAAAUGGCAUAUCCACAAUGCUGUCGAAAGAUUUAUCUUAUAGCCAUGUCAUUUGAGUUAUCAGAUAACAUGCUUUAUCAACAUUGUGGAGCUUAUUCCUGUGCACUUUGAUAGUGUAGGAGACAAAUAAAGUGAUCUUGAUACUACAACAGGGGUGAUAGAUUUUCCUCCAUAUCUUAAUUAAGAAUUUUGUUUCUAUCCCAGUGAACCCUAGUAAUUGGUACUUCCUUAUCAGCUCUUUAAUUUGGAUAUGUUACUUUUUUAAUUUGUCAUUUAUACUUUUGAGUGUUUAGUUUAGUUUGUUGAGAGAUUGAUGCACUUAUCAAACAUCAUGUCCCUCCACAGGUAAGAUUCAAUCAAUUGUGAUGUUUCCUUUUCUUUUGCCCUCAAGUGGCCUAUUAUGUUACUCUAAUAAAGAAUUUGUUAAAUAUAAAAAUGUUUAAAACACCGUUCUUUAACAGCUUAAGCUUUUAGAGUACAACGGUUGUUUCACAUGGUAUCAGAGCAGGAGGUCCUAAGUUCGAGUCAUGCCAGGUUCCUAAUAUAUUAAUUCUCCCAUUUAAUUCAAGCUUAUGUCAUGAGCCGACUAAAAAGUCUUGAGCCCAGACGUGAGGGGGAGUGUUAAAUAUAAAAAUGUUUAAAACACCGUUCUUUAACAGCUUACUCUUUUAGAGUACAACGAUUGUUUCACAGAAUUCAAAUCUGUUUUAAUUUCCUAUUAUGCAAUUCAAGUGCACAAAAUUGUUUUGCAACCUAUAUUGCACUUUUUGUCCUCAAUCUUUGUAAGACACAGUUUGGUUUUGAUGUAAGUAGAGGAAUUAAAAAAAUAAAUACUUUAUUUCAUUUCUUGUUUCUAAAUAAAAAAUCACUGUUUAUCUCCCUUAAUGGAUUAUUUUAGUAUAAUCCGUUAAGAGGGUGGGAGUGGAACAACAAUUUCUUCUCUUAUAUCUAUACUAAUUAAGAAUAAAAUAUUACUAUUUAGAGUUGAGCUCCUAUGCUUUUAAAAUCGCAGGAGUUCAACGUACUUGUGAUUUUUUAGUCUGAGUCGUCUUAAGAUUAUUACAGCACCAGUAAGGAAGAUUUAAUGGGAUAGAUCAUUAAUAGUGCUGCACAGAUCUUAACGCUAUCUAACAGCUAAAAGUCACAAGCAUAAAUGCUCCUAUUCUUUUAAUCUAAAAGCACGGGAACUCAACUCUUACUUAUCAAUGUAUUAAUGCAUAAAUGCUCCUGUUCUUUUAAUUUAAAAAGUCACAACCAAAUGAUUAAUGCUUCUGACAUUUUAGCUCUCAAACUUUAAUUUAUUAUAACAAAUUUGAUUCACUAUAUAUAUAUAUAUAUAUAUAUGAUAUUUUGCUAAUGCAAAAGUAAUGUGAAAUUUCAGUAAUUACCAUAUCAAUAUUAUAUUAUCAUCACAUCACUAUUUAAUUAAUUAAAAUAGACUAUGGGAUUUUAUUAUAAUAAUUUAAAAUUUUGAGUAAGAAAUUAUAAUAACUUAAAAUUUUGAGAACCACAACAUCACACGCCUCCAAAUAUGAGGACCAAAAAUGCAAGGUACCCUUCUUUUUUUUGUCUUAACAAAAUAAAAUGGGUGCAGUUUAAAAUAAAAAAUAGUGUAACAAGAGGAGAAAUGAUGCAACAAGAGGAGAAACGGUGCAACAAGAGGAGAAACAGUGCAAUUUUCAUUUAAAGAGUGUAAUUUUUAUCUUAGUGGGUGCAGUUUAUAUCUGAAAGAGUGAAAUAAGAAGAGAAACAGUGUAAAUAUCUUUCAAAGAGUGUAAUUUUCAUUUAAAAAGUGUAAUUUUUAUUUUAAAGCUGUAGUUUACAUCUUAAGUAGUGCAACUUGUAAUUUUUUUGUAGUUAACGAUACAAUUUCAUCUUCAUCCUUUUUUUUAUAUAAUUUUUUAUCUUUAUUUUUUUUCUGUUUUUUUUUGUCACCCUCUCUGUCAAUAGCCACGGUGUCGGUGACGACGCCGCUAAAGACCCCCCACUCCGAGGCUGCAGCGCCGCAGUGAUCUCCACGGUGUCGGCGUCGGUGUCGGCGAAGAUGCAUCGUCGUCGGAGGCAGCAGAGAAGGAGGGAGAAGGAGAGACGGGAAGGGCAGGGAAGAGCGAGAGAGGCGCCGUCGUCGGAAACUGUGGAGGAGAGUCAGAGAAGAAAAGAAAAGAAAAAUGCAAAAAAAAAAAAGUCACAGCCCGGCCUUAGGGGGAUCGGAGGCGAGGAAGGUGGGGGCGCCGGCGGCGACGCCGCUCUGUCUUCGCCGCUCUCUGGGAAGAGAAAGAAAAAAAAGAACGAGAGAAAAAAGAGAAAAGAAAAAGGUAUAAGGGCACCUCCGCUCCGUCUUCGCCGCUCUCUGGGAAGAAAAAGAAAAAAGAACGAGAGAAAAAAAGAGGAGAGAGAAAGAGGAAAGAGAAAAAGGUAUAAGGGUAUUUUGGUCAGUUUGCUGAAAAAGCGGAUCGAAUCUGCAAAAGCCAAAAAGAUGGCCCGAUUUUGCAAAAGCCCAAAAUAAAUGGAUUUUUUAUGCAAAUUGGCCAAAAAAUUUUAAUCCAAAGCUUUUGCCAAAUUUCUAUUAAAUAAAAAUAUGAAAUUUAAUAUAAAAAAUAAAAUGCAAAUAAUUAAAGAGAAAUGCCAACUCUAUAACCGAAAAAGGUUGUAAUCCUUACAAGUCUUUUUUUUUUUUUUUUUUGUGAGAGAUAGGUAGCACGCUAUCCGCUUCGUUUACUUCAUUUAGAAAUAAACUUAGCUGGAAAUGUGAAUCAACUAGGAUUCGAACUUGGGCCUCGGGUACCAACCACCAAACCCUUUGCCACUUGCUUUAGGGACAGUCAGUAUGAGAAAAAUAGAAAAGGGUUGUAAGUUUAAUUAGCACUGCUUUUUUGAUGUAGAGCAAUGCUACAGGUACAUCCUAAAGUAGGGUGUAUUUCUUACACCUACUUCAUCUUAAGAUCAUUCUUGUUAUAUCAAUUUUUUUUUUUAAUUUUAUUAAAAACCAAUUCGAUUUUUAUCAAUUCGAAAAUUCUAGGUGUAAGAUGUACACCCUCUUUUUAGUGCACAAGAAGCAUUUUCCUUUGAUGUAUCGUCUUUUGCACUCAGCGCCCUUUGAUUGUAAAACCUACAGAGAACCCUCUCAAUUUUUUUUUUUUUUUUCCUACUAUUGUUACAUAACCUUAUUUGGAAAUUUUAAUUUAUUGUGCAUAAAUAUUAAAAUUUUUAAAAUGUUAUUUAAAAUACAAAUUGUAUAUUUUCAUUGGUGAAAAAGUUCCAUCUAACUAUUCUUUAAUGCCCUUAUGGACAAUAUAUUCGUUAAAUUAAAUAAAAUAACCGUUGUCCUCUAAAUAUUUUGUCUAAAAUUUUAAUAUUCAACAUAUCUCCUUACGUCUAAGCUCGAGACUUUUCGAUAGAUUCAAGAUGUGGGUUUGAAUUAAAUAGGAGAAAACUAAAUAAUAUUAGAAACUUGAUGAGACUCAAAAGCAGAUUUCCUGUUCUAUUACCAUAUUCAAAUAUUUAAAUAAUUCAUUUUUCACUAAAAAAUUUAAGUUAUUAAAGAACAGUAUUUUUAAUAUUCGUAUUCAGCAAUAUUACCAGAAAAAAUACUCAGAUACACUCAGAUCUAGAUUGGUUAGAAGGAAGAUCGGAGUUUCUGUAGAAACUAAACGAUGCAGUUUGGUGGCUCUAAAUGAACUCAUUGUGAUUUUAAUGGUAACAAAUAAUUAUGAUUUGAAUCCGAUAUUUUAUUUGAGCUUGAUAUUACCAGAACAAAUAUUUGAAAGAGUUCAAACAACAAAUCAUUAGUUAUACGCAAGGGGCCUUUGUUUCACUCUCUUGUUCGCUUAUUUUACCUACAUUCACAUUAUAUUAGGAUCCGUUUGAAGUUGUAUGAAGAUUAAGCUACGUACAGUGACAACGCUCAAUGAAAAAAUAUUAAUAUAUUAUUUUUAUACUUAUAUCACAUUCUACAGUUUCACAAAAAAAUGCAGAAAUAUAUUUCUAUAUAUUUUUACUCUAAAUCUGUCUUAUUUAUUAACAUUAGAUGAAUCUCAAUACCAAAUAUGUUCUUACUCUGUCACUUGCACUGAAUUGUUCUUAAGAACUAGCACUCGGAAAUAAAUCGAGUGCUCAGAUUUGAGUGAUUGGUAUUCUUAAUCAGCUACGACUAUAAGAACUGGCAUGUUUUGUUUGAAAUGAAAAUUGCUUUCGGAAUGAGAAUGAGAAUGGAUUAGAAUUAAAAACGGAAUGAUAAAAGGUUCAAUUUGUUUGAUUAUAAGAGUAAUUAGAAUUGGAAUUAAUCAUGUUUCAAUUGAAAAUCAAAAAUUUAGAUUUAUUACUCAAAGAUCGAUUUAGUAGAAAAUGGGUUGCAUAGAAUGAAGGAGCUUAGAAUUAUCUCUGAUACUACAGAAUGAAGGAAUUUAAAACUGACUCUGAUAUCAUAUUAACCAAAAGAUCGAUCUAAUAGGAAACGACCAUAAAAUAUAUAUUAAUAUUUUUUUAUUCACGUGCAUGAUGGAUAUUAAAGGCACGUGACAUUGAUAGAUAAGUAGAAGAUAAGAUUUAACCAGUAUAUAAUUAUGAAAAUUUAAUCCUUUAAACCUCAAAGGUGGGGGGACUGGACCUACGAUCUUAUAAAAUGAGGGGCUUGAAAUUGGCUCUGAUACUAUAUUAUCCAAAAUAUUAAUCUAGAAACAUAUUUAACAAUCCUACUUAUGUGCAUAAUGGAUGUGAAAGACACGUGAAAUUGAUAGUUGAAAUAGAAUAUAGGAAUUUAACUUAUUGUAUAAUUAUAGAAAUUUAAUCCAUUAGACGUCAAAGGUGGGGAUUGCGUUGACACCAUGUUAUCAAAAGGUAGAUCUAGAAAAAAAAAAAAUAGCCUAGAAAUUUAGAAAUAUACAUUAACAUUUAUAUUCAUGUACAUGAUGGAUAUGAAAAGUACAUGGAACUGAAAGAUGGGAUAGAAGAUGGGUAUUUAAUCCAUUAUAUAUUUAUGAAAAAUUAAACCCGUUAAAUGUUAAAGGUGGAGAUUCAACACAUGACUUCAUAGGAAGAAACGGUUUAGAAAUAACUCUGAUAUCAUGCUAACUAAAAGAUUGAUCUAGUAAGUAAGGACCCAGAAAUAAAAUAUAUUUUAACUUUUCCUUGUGCAUGAUAAAUAUAAAAGACACAUGAAAUUAAUAGAUCAGAUAGAAGAUGAGAUUCAACCCAUUGUAUUAUAUAAUUAUGAAAGUUUAAUCCAUUAAAUGCCAAAGGUAGGGGAUGGAACAAGAAUGAACAAGUUUGGAAUUGACUCUGAUUAUAUAUUAUCCAAAAGUUCGAUCUAGAACAAAACAGGCGAGAAAGCUAGAAAUAUAUUUUAACAAUUAUACUCACAUGCAUGAUGGAUGUGAAAAGCACAUGAAAUUAAUAAAUGAGGUAUAAGAUAAGGAUUUAACUCACAAAAUUAAGGGUUUAGAAUUGGCUCUGAUACCAUAUUAUUCAAAAAAUCGAUCUAGUUGGAAGGGGUCUAGAAAUUCAAAAAUAUAUAUUAACAUGCCUACAAGCAGAAUUGAUAGAUGAUAUAAAAGAUGGGUAUUUACACUAUUAUAUAAUUAUGAUAUUUUAAACCUAUUAAAUGUCAAAAGUGGGGAAUGAGCCCAACGAUUUUACAAAAAAGAAAAGGUUCUCAUUGACUCCCAUACAAUGCUAACCAAUAGAUCGAUUUAAUAGAAAAUGACUGAGAAAUAUAUAUUAAAAUUUUCAAUCACAUGCAUAAUGGAUAUAUAAAAGGUACAUAGAAUUAAUAGAUCAGAUAAGAGGUGAAAAUUUAACCCAUUAUAUAAUUAUAUAAUUAUAUAAAUUUAAUCCAUUAAUUGUCAAAGGUGGGGGAUUGAAACCACACUAUCACAGAAUGAAGAGGAUUGGAGUUGGCUCUGAUACCAUAUUAUCCAAAAGAUUGAUCUAGUAAAAAAUGGACUUAGAAACCCAUAACUAUAUAUUAACACUCCCACUCACAUUUAUGUUGGUUGUGAAAGCCACUUGAAAUUGAUUAAUGAGGUAGAAGAUAGGGCUUUAACCCAUUUUAUUGUUACAAAAUUUAAUCCUCUAAAUGUCAAAGGUGGGGAUUAAUCACAAAACCUCAUUAGAAUGAAGGAGUUUAGAAUUAAUUUUGCACAAAAGAUGGAUCUAGUAGAAAAUAGGCCCAAAAAUUAUAAAAAAUAUAUUAGCAAAAUUUACUAUUCAAUUUCGUAAUCAAAAUUUAAAUUUAACCCUCAGAACAUAAAAUUUUAAAGUUGAACUUAAGAAAUUUAAAAUUAAAAUUUGAAACCAUAAUUCAAAUUCAAAUAUAAAAUAAUUAUUUAAAAUUAGGUAUACAUUAAUAUUUGAAUUUAAAUAAAUGUUGUUGAAAAAAACAAUAGAUUUUUUUUUCCUCAAUCCCUUUCGAAAGUAAAGUUAAUUAAUUCCCACUUAAAACUAUGACUAGAGAAUUGGAUUGUUCAAAAUAUCAAUCAUUCAAACCAAAUAUUGGAAAUUUUGCCCCUUUGAAUGAAGAUCAAAAUAUCAAUCCUUCAAACCAAAUACUAACAAUAAAAUUGGAUCAUUUUGAUUCUCGUUUCAAACCUCAAAUUCUGCAAACCGAAUAUGUCCUAAAAUCUAUGACUAGAGAAUUGGAUUGUUGAGAAUUGAAUUUAAACAAUCGUUGGCGAAAAAAUAAAUUUUUAUUUUUCUUCUCAAUCCCUUUGGGAAUUAAAGUUAAUUCCCACCACCAUGGGGAGAAUCAUACUGGAAAAAUUCCCUCCUUUGAAUGAAGAUCAAAAUGUCAAUCUCUCAAACAAGCACCAACGGUAAAAUUGGAUCAUUUUAAUUCUCAUUUCAAACCUAAAAUCCUUCGAACCGAAUAUGCCCUAUCUACGACUAGAGAAUUGGAUUGUUGAGAAUUGAUGAUUAACCGCUCCCCUACUUUUGGUCUGCACCAUGCAUGUAUAGCUUUCGUAACCUGGAGUCACAAACAAGUCAUCGAAUUAAUCCGCAUCGAAUUCAAACCUGAGUGAAUUUGAGAUCCAAAUGCGACUAAUUUGUGCCGAAUCUUGAAUUAACCAUUUUGGGCUGUUUUUGUAACAUGAAAAUUGAUCAAUUAAUUCAGCACAAAAGCAAAAUUACCUUGUAGAAUGAUCUUUAUUUCCUUGUACUUGAGUACAGUUGAGAUCUUAUAGAAGGAAAUUCUUUUUGGUAAAGAGAUUUAAAAAAAGAAAAAAAGAAAAAGUUGGUGUCAUUUGCGUAGCUAAUAUGUUGAAGAUUGAGAGUUGGAGGAGACCUAGACAAAGUGCUAAAUGUCCAAACAAAUUGACCAAUUACUUCUUGUGUUUGUAUUAUAUAUCUCAAUAUCUACUUUUGUUCUAUCUCUUAAUUUUUUUUAUUCGGCUUGCAUUUUUAUUUUUAAAACCUGAUUCACCUCCACUAUUUGAGUGCCAUUCUAUUCUUAUGUAGAACACUCCUACUAAACUUUUGCAAAUUUUAAAAUAAUGUUUUAAAAUCCGGAUCGACUCGGUCAAUUGGACCAUGACCUAGUGCCCAAACUAGUUCCAGCCAAUUUAUAAAAUCGGACCGACUUAAAACUCGCUUGGACCAAUUUAGAUAAGUUUUUCAACUAGAGAACCUGCCGGAUUUCUUUUCAUUUUAUAUUUCAACAAUUAAUUAGAAAUAUGCAUGUUUUUUUUUUAAUAAUUUACACUUUGGAUACAUUUUAAUUAUAUAUAAUAUAAUAAUAAUUAAAAAUAAUAUAUAGUACUAUACUAAGUAUAUAUUUUUAUUGUAUAUUACUAUAUAAAAAUAAUAAUUAAAUAUUUAUGACGUUACGGUGGUGAUCUAUGACCCAUCAAUAUUUUUGGAUUCUACACGGUUCGGCUUUUAAAUCAUUGUUUUCGAAAUGUAAUGGGCCAUCCCAAGUGUGGCCUGGGUGUUUCCAAACAAGUUUGGCCUACUGAGAAGAGGCAAGGCCCGAAUCAAAGUCUCAAGCACAAUUUGUAUAUGUGAGUUUAAUUAGACCCAAAAUUGCUGAAAGCUUUAAUAAAUAGGGGUUAGUUACAUAUAGCUCUCUGUAAAGAUAUCGAAUAGUAGAUAUAUCUCUAUAAAGUUCAACUUUUCAUAUUUAUUUUUGUAAAAGUCCUAACGUUUUUAAAUAUACCCCUGCCGUUAGGAUCUGUUAGAAAAGUAUAAUUAAUCAUAGAUAAAAUACUUAAUUCUAAUUAGUGAAUGAGGUAAAUUGACAUUUUUAUCAUUCUUAUAUUAUUUGUGAUGGAAGAAAGGAAAAGAUGAUCGUUGGUGAUUUUUGAGAUGACAGUUCCGCAUAAUUUUAACAGUCACUACAACAAAAACGAUAUAUAGCGACACCUUUAAAUAUCGGUACAAAUCAAAAAAAGUGUUGCUAACUAAAUUACCGACACUUUUAAAAAGUGUUGCUAUAUGUGGGUCACUAAGUAUAUAGUGACAGUUUAAGAGCAUCGGUAUAACUUAAAAAAAAUGCUGCUAAUUUACCGACACUUAUUUAAGUAUUUAGCAACCGCCGGAACUCUACCUCGUUGGCUGCGGUGGCGGAGGAGGAGGAGAGCGAAGGGCUCUUCGUGUAGGAUUUCAGCGGAGGAUUGAGGAGAGCGAAGGGCAUUUUUUUUUUUUUUUCCUUUUCUGUUUGUACUCGGGCUGAAUGGGUUGGUUGGGGUUGGUUGAGUAGAGUAAUAUUUUAUUUUUGGUUGAAUUAGACUUUAUAUUUAGGCCUUAGUAGAUUUUUUAAAAAGUUUUGACAUAAAUGAAACACUUACACAAAAGUGUUCCAAACAUGUGUUCCUAUAACCUAAUUCUGUUGUAGCGAGUUGAGGUUUUUGGAGGAACAUAUUUUUAAUAGCAAAAAUAUUAUUUCACUUAUCCUCUGUUAAAAUAUAAACAGUAUUCUAACCGUAACAAACCAGAUAGGCAAAAUAUGAAUAUCACCGGACUUUUAUAGUGAUAAAUAUGAAAAAUUAAAUUUUGUAGUAAUUUAUUUGCUAUCCGAUAUGUUUAAAGGAGCUAUAUGAAAUUAACCCUAAUAAAUAUAUCAUAAGCCUAGUUUGCAAGGGCUAAUGUAGGUUUGAGUUUUCCUCCUAACAAUUAAGUAGGAUGGAUUAAACUUCUAAUGCGGAUUAAACUUUUCGAACUAAUAACAUAAUCUUUGCUGAGGGUUAUCCUGCCAAAAGGGGUUGGAGCGAAAAUAUAUAAAUAUAUUAUUUUCGUUUACGAGUAGGAUCACAGAUAUCAUAUUUUAACCAAACUUGUAUGAUCUACUCAACCUAUUACUUAUUAGCAUAACAAGUUGAAUAUUUUUGGAUCGCACUUUUCUACGGCAUUCAAUGCAUACUCUCUGCAAUUCCGAACAGAGCUCUAAUAUUCGGCCAUAAAUAUUGUUGGUGAAUUAGUUAAGUUGGGGCCAUUCUGGGCCUUAUGAUGUUUGGACAAGGGAGAUUAAUGGCUUAAAAUACAAAAAAUAAUAUCUAAUUAAUAUGCUCUUCAAAGUUUCAAAAAUAAUUUAUAUUUUUGGAGGAUCAAAAUAUUCUUACUGAUUAUAAAAAAUUCCGUCAAAUAUCUCUAUUUCCUCUAAGGUUGACUAAAUAGAUUAAAUUUUAAAAAGUAUUAUGAUAAUUUUAAAAUAUUUUUAAAAGUUUUAAAUAGUAGUAAGAAAUAAAUAAGCGGGAACUUCUAAAAGAUAUGGGGACACUAGCAUAUUAAUUACCACGUACAUCAUAGCCGCAAAAAGAUGCUAUAACUCCUAGGAAGAUUCAUGUACAUAGUAUCCAACAUAGAAUCCAUAAACAACCAAUUUAUUUAAUUUGUUUUUUUCAUUCCAAGUUCUAAUAAACAUUAAUGUGAUAAAAUAAAUAAGUAUGAAACGAGGGAAAUUAAGUGGCAUAUCAUUUUCACAUCUUGCAAAUAUCGACUUUGAUAGACGUGCAUUUGCCACAAUCCCAACACAUUGAUGUAUACAUCUCUUGUUUUUGUUAAUUAGUAGAAUUAAUUAUAGGUUUUUUACAAAUGGAUACCUAGGAGCUAUAAUUUUUCACACUGUUUUUUUUCAUUUUGAAAGUGUUUUUUUUUACUUUUUUUUUUUUUUUUUUUGGUGAGGGAUAGGCCAGAAACAGUAGCAAAAGUCUCUGGUAUUUCACCAGAUAUAAAUAAUUUUCGGCCUUUUCAUCUUUUAUUCCCGAAAUAACAAUUGCCAAAGUGAGAAAAAAUCACUAUAUGUGCACUAUUUUUAUAAUUAAAUAUUACAAAUGACAUAUUACAAAUAAAGCUUGAUGUAAAAUAGUCGCAUUGAAUUGCACCUUUGGCCCUCAAACUAUGAAGUGGCUGAUACUUUCAUCAUCAAACUUAAUUUGUUGUAAUUUUUCGUUCGAACUUUCAUAAAUAUUUUAAUCAAAUUUUAUAACUAAAUUUGAUAGACUAGGUAUUAAUAUAUCCUUCACGCUACUAACAUAAUGCGACAUCUCAAUUAUUAAGUUUGAGUACCAGACGAGCAAUUUGUUCAAAAAUUUUUAUUAAACAUGUUCGUGAAGCUCAUUUGAGGUCCAAAUUGUAAAACAAUCGUUCUCCUUUAAAUAGUUAAGUUGAUAGAGAACAAUGUUUAAAUAUUUUUAUAUUUAACACAAAUCAGAGCCCAGUGGAAGCAAAGAGCUUCAUGAGCCCAAAAGUUAUGGCCAUGGCGAGCCAACCUCCAACCACCACCCUCACACACGACCUCCCCACGGGGGCGCGGCCGAGCACGGCCCCGGCGAUCCCGAACCCUAAAAGCGCCACAGUCACCGCCGCCGCCACCACCAUCAUCCUCACUUUGUAGCUGGUUAUGAACCCAGCGGCGAGCAGCGGCACCGCCCCGCCGACCGAGAACGCCAGCGCCGACGCCACCGCAGCCUGCACCGGGCUCGGCAGCUGCCUCAUGUCCCCGACGGCUGCCUGGCCGACGGUCGCGUCCUUCCGCCCCUCCGCUCUAUUCAGCUGAGCUAUUUCGGUGUCGAGCUGCGAGUACACAGACACGAACUCGCCGAUCGCCAUGCUGCAGGCGCCCGCCACGAGGCCCGCGAAGCCGGCCACGAGCAUGGCGCGGGCGCCCCCGUCUCUUACGGCGCCGACGCCCAUUAUCAGCGAAGCCGUCGAGACGAGGCCGUCGUUGGCGCCGAGGACCGCGGCGCGGAGCCACUGCGCCCGCUUCGAAUAGUCGAGCUCGUCGUCGGGGGUUGUGGGGACUUGGGCUUCGAAGCUCGCGCCAUUAAUUGUGAGCUUGGUUUCUUGGAGAGCCAUGGAGAGAGAGGAGGUGGGGUGGUGGGGGAGGGGGAUGAGUAGUGUGGGAGACACACGCCUCUAGAGAGGCUUGUAUAAUGGUAUGAAAAGCUAGGGUUUCGUGGUGGGGGGUGAGGGUGAGGGCACUUUUGGCGUUUGUGAUAUUUGAAUUGAAAUGUUCCAUGUGCUUGUAGAGUCAGAGAGAGAGAGAGAGAGAGAGAGAGAGAGAGAGAGAGAGAGAAUUUAAUUGUUCAAAAUUGUAUGAGAAAAUUUGAGUUGAAUUGUUACAAUUAAAAUUGUAUGAGAAAAUUUAACUGUAGCAGUUAGAAUUACGUAUAAAUUGAUUAUAAUUUCAACUGCAGCAGUUAGAGAGAGUAAUUUUAAACGUGAUUUAAAUUUAUUUUUUAAUUAUAUUUUAACCAAAAAAUAUUUUUCUUUUUUAUAUUGAAGGCAAUUUCAUCACCAUAUAUUUAAAAUAAUAAAAUUUUACAAACUUCUUUCUCAAUUAUAUGAAAUCAAACAAAUUUUUAUAAUUACAUCAUUUUCUAUUCAUCUAUCGAAACGAAAUAUAUAUAGUUGUAAUUGACAUAUCUCCAACUAUAUGUAUCUCAAACUAUAUUGUAUUUCUAAUUACAUUAAACCAAAUAUCCUCUUAGUGCAAGAGCAACUGUCCCUAACAUAAGUUGCAAAAGACUUAUAGAUUCAUAUUGGUUGGUAUCCGAGGUCUUAAAUUUAAAACUUAGUUACUUCACAUAUUAUGCGAAGUUUAUUUUUUAAAACAAUAAAUGAACAAAAUAGAUAGCAUGCUACCUUUCUCUCUCUCUCUCUCUCUCUCUCUAAUAAAGGAAAUUAGUGUAAGGCUUAAUUUGGUAACAUGCAUGGUAAUUUGAGAGGUAAACUUCAAUUUGCCUUCUUUAACUUAUUUUUAUUUUGCUAUCCUAUACUUGGUAAAAAGAGUUGUACUUAAUUAUCAUAUUAUUUAAUCUCUAUUUUAUCCAAGAAAUCUACUAUUAAAUAGGGUAGCAAAGUAAAUCUUUUUUUAAUAAAUAUAGAAUAGUUAAGUACAUGUAAUCUUUUGAAUCAUAGGGCAAAGUGAAACUUAGCUAAACCAUAGAAUAUGAAGUGUAACUUUUACAGCGUAACAAAGUUAAAAUGAGUGAAAUCACAGGGAGCAAUUUAAACCUUAAUCAUCUUUAUUUAAAGUAUUCAAAAAAUUUAAGUACUUUUUUAGUGAAAACUGCUAUCGUGAAAGGCAUUUGAUUAUUCUCCUUAUCGACAAAUUACUAUAAACCUUUUUAUUAAAAUAGAUAAGUAUAUAUACUGGACAAAAAAUAUAUUUAUACAUCAAAUUAAAUCCUGUCUAUCUAUCUAUCUAUCUAUCUAUAUUUAUAUCUAUCAAUAGAUAUAUUAAAGCUUGAGUUUUACUGUAUAUGACGUGUCAAUUUCUCAACGCCCUGUCUCUACCGUUCCCUCUCGCGCCCUUUUGAUCCCGACGGCUCACGUGUCGUCCGCCCCCUCUCUUUGGUUUCCUGGCACGCAUCUUCGACCCCUUCCCUCUCUUGCACCCACGAUUCCCUCUCUCUCACCCCCGAUUCCUGUCCCUUGUGGCUUCGCAGAGCCUGCAGGGCUCAGAGAGUUGUCACAAAAGGAGGGCCUUCAGAGUCUGACAUGGCGAUUUCUCCACCAUUUCCGCCAUUUUUCUUUUUUUCUUUUUUUUUCCGCUCCGCCUUGCCCCCCGCCUCUCUCUCUCUCUCUCUCUCUCUCUCUCUCCCCGCCGGGAUCCGCACUCUCUCCUCCAUCCCGCCGAGAUCUGCGGCGCGAUCUUCGCCUGCGGGGAUCUGGUGAGGAUCUUCUUCCCCUCCUCCCCCUCCCCAUCGCGCAAUAGAUCGGAGGAGCUCGCGAGCCCUCGGGCCCUGUUUGAUGAAAUGCCGAGCCGAUCGCAGGGCGCUCCGCGGGCAUCGGAGAGCUUAAAACAUAAUUGUAACCUGUAUAUUUGCAAGCAAUAUGUUGCAUAUGUAUGUUUUUUUUAGCGCUAGAUGGAAUUAGUAUUGCUCAAGAGAUGACAAACUACUUGAUUAUCCGAAAACCAUACUAUGUUUUUUUUAGCGCUAGAUGGAUAAUCACGUAGUAUGGUUCUGGGAUAAUCACAUAGUAUUUUUUCGGAUAAUAUUGCUCCAGUUUUUGCAUCCUUAGAUCCUUUUGCCUACAAUAAAUCCUACUGUAACUUGCAUUAAUGCUUAUUUACUAUGCAGUAAAUAUACAUCAAUGGGUAUAUUUAAUGGAUACAUCAAUGGGUUUUUACUACGCUCUGAAAAGAAUUUACACUUACAUCAAUGGGUAUAUUUAAUGGAUACAUCAAUGGGUUUUUACUAUGCUCUAGAAAGAAUUUACAUUUCACAUUGUAGGUUUCUACUGUUUAUGUUGGUUCUUUGUUUGUUAGCAUGGUGAAGUUAACUGUGCCGCUUUCAUUCUAUUAUGCUGGUGUUCUUGCUUUCUGAGUUAAAAUUCCUCUUAUUCGCUGAACUUUAGUUAAAUUAUUUUAUUUUAUAGGCAACAUGUUGUGAAUACUACGGCUCAGAGAACGAAAUCAAGAAAAAUAGCUAACUGCACUGUUAAUUAUAAUAUUAUGAAAGUAGUGAUCGACAUAAAAGUUUUGUGACUUCAAAUGGUUUGCUAGGCGAUGAUAAUACAGAAUUUAAAAAAGGGCAAGCUUAUUGCUUUUACUCCGCUCGCUGGUGUAAAGUAUUUCUACGUUGUUUUGUACGUGUGUGUAUAUAUAUAUAUAUAUAUAUAUAUAUAUAUAUAUAUAUAUAUAUAUAUAUAUAUAUAUAUAUAUAUAUAUAUAUAUAUAUAUAUAUAUANAAAUACUCUAGAUCAAGUCUAACGGAGCCGAUCGUCGAUUCGAAAGUCGGAACAUCGAAAACAAAGUGGAAGCACGGAGCGCUCCGUGCUUCCAUAAGCAUACCAGACGCACUCUAUAUAUAUAUAUAGGCCAUGGCUACUAUACUAUUAUGAGUAUUGGGCCCUUCGUACUCAUAAGUUGUUUUCGAUGACAGGGCUUCCGAAUCGACAAUCCAUUCCGUUAAAUAUGAUCUAGAGUAUUUGAAACUUCUAAAAAAUAAAUUUCGUAAUUUUUUGAAAUCAUAAUAAAGUCCAUCAAACGGGUAUAAAACGAAUGGUCAAAAUCGAACGACGUCCUAAAAAUAGAUGAUCGGAUCCUUCAAUUUAAGAUCGGAAUUAUUGAUCUUUAUCUAGAUAGUGAAUAGAAUUUUCUAUCAAAAAUUCAACAUAUUCCAAUUCUUUUACACCGUUAAACUAGCAAGUAUUCCACACCGGCCGUUAAAAAAUGUCAAUUUUGUGAGCUUUUGAUCGUAAGGUAAAUGAUGUCGAAAAAUUAUAAAAUUUGAUUUCUAAAAGUUUUAAAUGCUCUAGAUAAUAUUUAACGGUAUGGAUCGUCGAUUCGGAAGCUCUAUCAUCGAAAACAACUUAUGAGUACGAAGGCGAUCAUACUCAUAAAAGUAUAGUAGCCGGACUAUACAUAUAUGAGUAGAGCUAGAAUACUUGUAAAAGUAUCACCCAAGUGAUACUUGUGUGUUUUUAACCCUUGGAUGGAGAGAUGUGAGGUUGAGAUGAUGGUGAUAGGUGGUGGUAGGUGGUGGUAGCUGGAAUAGUGUUUGAUCCAAGGACUAUUAGUAAUCAAAAAGUAGAUCCAAUGGCUAAAAACAUAUAAGUAUCACUUGGGUGAUACUUGUAAAAGUAUUCUAGCCCUACUCAUAUAUAUAUAUAUAUAUAAUUAGGCUGGAAUACUAUUAGUAGUAAAAUUCUCUUUUUGCUAUUAAGAUUUUAACCCUUGGAUGAAAAAUUGUAGGGUCAGGAUGACAUUAGUCGGUUAGAGUUGAGUGCUCCUCCUAGGGUUGAGUGGUCUCCACUGAGUUAUAGUAUUUAAUCCAAUGGAUAGAAAUGAUGAAAAAAAUUGAUCCAAAAGCUAAAAAACUGAUAGCAACAAUGAAAUUUUGCUACUAAUAGUAGCCCAGUCCAACUCAUAAACCCAGUGGGGACCACUCAACCCUAGGGGGACCACUCAACUCUAACCGACUAAUAUCAUCCUGACCCUAUAAUUUUUCAUCCAAGGUUUUUUUUUUUUUUUUUUGAUCCCAUUCCUUAAUAGUAUUAACCGUAUACCUUGGAAUUUUUUCUUUUUUUCUUUUUUCUAAAUCCUCGAAUUUUUUUUUUUAUUAUUAUUAUUAUUAAUGGUACGUCGUCUACUCGGUGUGAGGCUAACCCGUGUAUCGCCAACUGCUCGUCGAAGAGGAGGAAGGACAUUAUCAUUCGGUGCUCUCCCUCGUUUAACCCCACUCGGUUGGAGGGCUCGGAGGAGUACACGAGGAGUUUUAGGAGGAAGGGGUGGGACAAGUACAGGGACUUGGAGAAGUGGUGGUACCUCACGGGUGAGCAGUUGCACCGGAACAUCCUCGUGGGGUCAAAGGGCCGCGGCUCGUGGAGGCGGCUGCUGAACUCGUCCAGCACGUCGAGCUUGGAGUGGUACAGGAGGAAGUGCUUGUGGUCGGAGGGAACGAGCACCGGGGGGCGGCGGCUGAAGGACGGCGAGGGCGAGGGCGAGGGAGAAGGCGAAAGCGAGACCGCGAGCAGGCGGCCCCCCGGGAGGAGGUCGAACAAGAGAAACAUGCUGCGGCAGGCCCGGAAGAACCGCCUCCUCAAGAACCUUCUGCCGUCGGCCGGGUCGACGAGAAGGACGUGGGCCCUGCCGACCGCCGCCUCGCGGUCCUCGCGGUUAGGCUGCUAAGGAUGGCACCGGUGCUGUCGCUAGCGUUCCGAGUGGCGGUAACGGCUCGAACUCCUGAACAAGCUGCCGCUGUGCCUACUGCUUCGCGUGCCGUGCGGCUCCCCGCGCGGCGUUUCCGGGAACAACGGACGUUAUUGUUGGUUGUUAAUUGUGUCUAGCAUAUCUUAUAUAUAUUGAUUCUUGAUGAUCAGGAGUUCCUUUACGUGUUAUAUAUAGUAGACUUAAUCCUCUAGCUACCGUAUAAUUACACAUGGACGCUUGUUCAGACGCAGGUAGCACCGCUCACGCCGGCCCUACCCCGGGAGGUCCGAUAACGGCCUGUGCAAGUGCUGGACGUCAAGGAAGACGGCCUCCAGACCCUACCGCGGGAGCUUGGCCAAGGGCAGGUCGAAGUCGAGCUCUUCGAACCCGCGCCGGCGGUCGCUGCGGCCCUAGCCGGGCCUCUUAGGCAAGACGCUCUCCACCUGGAAGAAGUCGCUGGUGUAGGGCAGCUUGCGCAGCGGGCGCUAGCCUGGGCUGUCGACCAAGUAGCUGUCCAUAUAGCUGGCGUCCGGCUGCUCGGAGAAGUGCAGGCCGUACCGCGGAGCCUUGCUCAACAAGUACUUCGAGUUGCAGGCCUCGGGGCGCUCCGGACGCUCGUCCGGGUCCAGGUCGCACGGCCUGUUCGCGUACGGGAGCUCGACGUCCGGCUCGUGCCACGGCAACAGCGUCUACUGCGGCCGGGUCGACCUCAGCAGCCGAAAGCCGCACGUACCCCGGCACAGCCGCCAGGUGCACGCCUCCCGCGGCCGACCCAGCCUCUAGCGGCGGAACUUAAAUUCGUCUUGCAGCCGCAGCCUCCGUAACCGACUGUCCUACCACCGCUUCUGCUCCGGCCUGUCCUUCUCCUACGGUUCUCCCCGGCUGCCAGGCCGGCACCGGUACCGCUGUCUCUUUCUUCCGGUGGGAGCGAGCGAGUCCCUCUUACUUACCCCUACGAUAACUUCCAAUCUCUCUCUCUCUCUCUCUCUCUCUCUCUUUCUCCCCACUCAACACUACCAGUUUCUUACAUCCUUCCCACCUCUCUCUCUCUCUCUCUUUUUCCCACCACAUGUACCCCAACCUUAAUUCACCCGAUUCUUAUCAUUCCCCGUCUCUCACUACCUCAGGUCCUAAACUCGACAAACCCUCUCUUUGUAUUCCGACCGGGGGGUAAAACCAACCUUAAAAGAGAGUAAAAAAAAUUCCCCUUUUUUUUUACGGGUUUCUAGGGAUUAAUUUACAAUCCCUUUUGAAGUUUUGGGGGUGCACUAAAGCGUAUAAAAGUAAAAUCAUAGGACACAAAAUUGCACAUAGUUCAAUCAUGGGACACCAAAGCGUGAAAGAGUGAAACCAUGGUACACCAAAGUUUACAUAGUUCAAUCAUGAGACACCAAAGUUUACAAAGUUCACGUAGUUCAAUCAUGGAUAUAAAAAUUUUCAUGGUUCAGUAAUCACGAACAUUUAAAAACCGGGAACCUAAUUCCCUACACGCCAAUCCUACUUAACCCGGGGGAAUCACACUCACCCACCAACCAAAUUAUCAUAUUAGAUUGCCUAUUUUUACUAGUUUUCAUAUCUAGAUUGCCAUUUUUAAAUGUUCGUGGUUCACGAACCACGAACAUGUUCGUGGUAUCGGCCUGAUAUAUAUAUAUAUAUAUAUAUAUAUAUAUAUCUUAAUCCGACCUUAUGAUAAUUAUCAUUUUGCGAGAAAAACGAUAGUUCAAAAAUUANUAUAUAUAUAUAGAGUUGAGCUAGAAUACUAUCGGUAGCAAACGGGCUCCGUUGCCACUCAUUUGUUUUCAAUGAUGGAGCCUCCAAAUUGAUGAUCGGCACCGUUGAAUAUGAUCUAUACCACUUGAAGUAUCUAGAAAUCAAAUUUUAUGCUUUUAUGAUAUUGUUCUCUUGUCCGUCAAGUGGGCGUAAAAAUGAACGGCUAAAAAUGAAUAUCCUCUAAAAAAUAAUGAUAGCAAUUUUGUAAUGAAGAUCGAGAGUCUAGAUCUUAUUCUAAAUAGUUUAAAGAAUUUUCUAACCAAAAUUUAAUUGAUUUGGAUAGUUUUACACCGUUAGACGAAAAAACGCCUCAUAUCUACCAUUAAAAUUACAAAAUUUGAAACCAUUUGAUCAUUAGGUUAAUAAUGUCGAAAUGAUUUGAAAUUUGGUUUAUAGAUACUUCAAGUGGUAUAGAUCAUGUUCAACGGUGCUGAUCGUCAAUUUAAAGGUUCCAUCAUCGAAAACAAAUGAGUGGCAACGGAGCCAGUUUGCUACCGAUAGCAUUCCAGCUCAACUCUAUAUAUAUAUAUAUAUAUAUAUAUAUAUAUAUAUAGUUGAGCUAGAAUNNNNNNNNNNNNNNNNNNNNNNNNNNNNNNNNNNNNNNNNNNNNNNNNNNNNCUUUGAUCUAAAAUUUUAAUGUCAUAUUAUCACGUUUUGUAAGAUUUUUAUUUUCAGUCAUUGAUUUUGAGCCCCUUUGUUCACUAGGUAAAUAAUAUCGAAAAAUCCCAUAGUUUAUUUUCUAGAUACUUCAAAUACUCUAGAUCAAGUUUAACGGAGCCGAUCAACGAUUCGAAAGUUGCAACAUGAAAAACGGCAUGGAAGCACGGAAGGCUUCGUGCUUCCAGAAGCAUAGUAGCCUCACUCUAUAUAUAUAUAUAUAUAUAUAUAUAUAUAGGCUAAUGCUACUAUCCUAUUAAUAGGAUAGUAGCAUUUAUCCUAUCAAGUUGUUCUUGAUGAUAGAGAUUCCGAAUCGAUUAUCGGAGCCGUUGAAGUUGAUCUAGAGUAUUUAAAAUAUCUAGAAACUAAAUUUUAUAAAUUUUGAAAAUUAUUUACAUGGUGAUCAAAGUGUUGUAAAAUAGACAAUUUUUGACAGCCUAUAUGAGCCGUUUGCUUAUUUAAUGGUGUAGAGCAAUUCAAAUUGCUUGAAUUUUUAAUAGAAAAUUCUUCCUACUAUUUAGAUAAUGUUUGAUAACUCUGAUUAUGAAUUGAGAAAGUCUAACCUCUAUUUUAAGAAGGUUAUUCAUUUAUGACCGUUUAUUUUUUCACUCUUCGAUGAACUUCAUAAUGAUUUUUAAAUAUUAUAAAAUUUGGUUUAUAAACAUUUCUAAUUGUGUAGAUCAAUUUCAACGGUGCCGAUUAUCAAUUUGAAGUUCCGAUCAUUCAAAAUGACUUGAUAGGACAACGUCCUCAAUCUUAUUAAUAGAGUGACGUAGUACGCCCAGAGAUGUGAUAAUAAAGAAAAUACGGAGUGAUUGAUUAAAUAGGUGAUUACGUACACUCUACACAAUGGAGAGGUAGCUGUAUGUUUACCCGGGAGGAAUUAAUUAAACCUGGUGAAUUAAUUUUCCCCGGUAAUCCCAACCUUUCCUGUUUUCCAAUCGGAUUUGAUACCUAUACUAAAUUAUAAAAAUUACUGACAUACACUAAAGUGGAAAACCUAGAAAGAGGGUUUAAUUGUACCAAACCACUCCAAGAAUUUCACUGGGGAAGAUUAGUUAUAUAUACAGAUAACUUUUCUUACACUCAGUGAACUCCUAAGGGAUCGGGAUCGAUAUAUAUAUACCAGUAAUCUACACGUAGGGUAACAAUAACACCAGGUGUUAAAUAUAACGAAACUACCCCUAAACUAAACACCAAUAAGAUCGAGAUCAGAAUUAGGAUAUUUUACUAGUUAACCGAUAUCAUAUCCCAUUAAUUGAACAUGCACAAUUAAUCACGCAAGACUGAGCAAUGAAUAAUAAUAAAAAAUUUUCAACCAGAAAGAUACAGAUCUUUCGCGACCAUCUUAUGUUAGAAAUAAUCGGCUGUAGACAUUAACCUAAAAGAUUUUUUCAAUAGAACGUAACUGUGAUGAUAAUACAUGAAAUUAGUUCCUUUAAAAUAAUCUGUUUACACUUUAAUCACAAAUAUAUCAUAGAUACAAAGAUAUAUAUAUAUAUAUAUAUAUAUAUCAGGUAGACGAUAGNNNNNNNNNNNNNNNNNNNNNNNNNACUCGCAAUUUUUUUUUCUUUUCUCUCUAUAUUUUUUUAAUCAAUGCAUAUAAAUAAGUUUUAAAAAUAUAGCAUAAUUCAUUAUUUAAAAUAUCAUUACAUACAAUAAAAAUAUUUAAAGUCUUAAAACAAAAAAAUUUCGUAUAUAAAAGACGCGGUAAGAAAUUAGGGUUAGAAUUUUUAAGUAUGGAUAAAUAAAAUAUUGUAUUUUAAUUAAGAAAAUAUAUUUUUAAUUAAAAAGUAUUGAGCGGUACCCGUAGGUACUGCGGGUUACUCCAAAUACCCACAGCUUAAUGGGUACCCAUCUGUUUUACCCGUAAUUUUUUGGGUUUGAAAAGUGGUACCAUUACCAGCAAAUUUGCGGGUAACCCGUGGCACCGCAGGUAUAGGUCGAGAUUGCCAGCGUCUAUAUAUAUAGAGUCCGGCUAUUAUACUUUAUUAGUAUUGCUCCCUUAUACUCAUAAGUUUUCGCUCUUAGAAUUUAUUUCAUGUAUUCUCCACCAGUUUAGAUCAUACUAUCUCAACACACUACCCACUCACCCUAAGCGGACCACUAUCAAUCUAAGUCGGGGACCGCAUCAUCCUAACCACAUCCCAUCAAUCAAUGGUUAAAAAUUUAUGAGUACAAGGGGUUCUAUACUCAUAGAGUAUAGAGCCCCAGCCAUAUAUAUAUAUAUAUAUAUAUAGGCUAAUGCUACUAUCCUAUAUGGAUAGUAGCACUUAAUCCUAUCUAGUGUUCUUGAUGAUGAAGAUUCCGAAUCGAUAUCGGAGCCGUUGAAGUUGAUUUAGAGUAUUUAAAAUAUCUAGAAAAAAUUUAUAAAUUUUGAAAAUUAUUUAAUGAUGAUCAAAGUUACGUAAAAUCGACAAUUUUGACAAGCCUAAUAUGAUGCCGUUUGCUUAUUUAACGUGUAAGCAAUCAAAUUGCUUGAAUUUUUAAUAGAAAAUUCUAUCUCUACUAUUUAGAUAAUAUUGAUAACUCUGAUUAUGAAUUGAGAAAGUCUAACCUCUAUUUUUAAGAAGGUUAUUUAUUUAGACCGUUUAUUUUUCUACUCUUCGAUGAACUUCAUAAUGAUUUUUAAAUAUUAUAAAAUUUGGUUUCUAAACUUUCUCUUGUGUAGAUCAAUUUCAACGGUGACCGAUUAUCAAUUUGAAGUUCCGCAUCAUUCAAAUGACUUGAUAGGACAACGUCCUCAAUCCUAUUAAUAGGAUAGCAGAUGACUCUAUAUAUAUAUAUAUAUAUAUAUAUAUAUAUUAUUAUAUAGUUGAGCUAGAAUGCUAUCGAUAGCAAAGGGCUCCAUUGCUACCAUUUAUUUUCGAUGAUGGAGCCUCCAAAUCGACGUCGCACCUUGAAUAUGAUUAUUCUAUACCAUUGAAGUGUUUAGAAAUCAAAUUUCAAUAUUUUCGAUAUUGUUCUCUUAUCCAUCGAGCUGACACAAAAUGAACGGCUGAAAAUAAAUAUUCUUAAAAUGAUUAUAGGAGUCUGUAAUCAAGAUCAAGAAUAUAGAUCUUGUUUUAAAUAGUUUAAAUAAUUUUCUAACAAAAAUUUAAUUGAUUUGAUAUCUUUACGCCGUUAAACAAGAAACGUCUCAUAUCGACCCAUUAAAAUUAUAAUUUGAAACCCAUGUCAUUAGGCAAAUGAUGUCAAAAAGAUUGAAUUUGAUUUCUACAUACUUCAAGUGGUACAGCAUAAUAUUCAACGUGACCGAUCGUCCGUUUAGAGGCUCUAUCAUCGAAAACAAAUGUGUGAAGAAGUCGUUUGCUAUCGAUAGUAUUCUAGCUCAACUCUAUAUAUAUAUAUAUAAUAAUAUAUUAUAUUAUAUAUAUAAUAUAUAUAUAUAUAGAAUUAGGCUGGAAUACUAUUAAUAGUAAAACGCUCUUUUGCUUAUCAGCUUUUUAACCUUAUGGAUGAAGAAUGCUGAUAGGGUCGAGAUGAAUUACUUAGUCGGUUAGAGUUAAGGGUCCCCCUAGGCGUUGCGUGCGUUCCAUGGCUAAGUAUUUAAUCCAAUGCGUUAGAAGCAUAAUUGAAAAUUAGUGAUCCAAAGGCCUAAAAACACGGUAGCAACGAAUGAAUUUGCUUACUAAUAAGUAAACCAGACCCAGUCCAACUAUAUAUAUAUAUAUAUAUAUAUAUAUAUAUAUAUAUAUAUAUAUAUAUUGUGGAGCGGGAAUACUAUUAAUAGUGUAAGAAUAGUAUUUACUAUCAACUUUUGAUCAUUGAAUUGGUAGGGUUUAGUUGAGAUUGGUAAAACAGUAAUAAUCCAAAUAUAAAAAUUAAUGUUAGAUACUAUUCAUGUACUAUCAGUUGUAUACCAGGUGAUCUCUCUCUCAAUAGAUGGUAAAAAUUUGGUUGUAUUUUUUGCUUCAUGGAAUGCUGAAUAGAUUAGCACCGGCUAGUGAGAGUGAAAGUUGUUGGAGGGAUAGCAUAAACAAAUGGAAUAGGGAGCAAGCAUUCCACGCGACACCACUCACUAACACUUAUCAUAUGCGUUUUGCAACUUUACAAAAUAAAUGGGCUUCUUUAUCCAAUGCUCUUUUAAGUUGCCCUUGCUUUUUCAAUCCACAUUGGGCUAGUGCUUAAGCUUUUAGAGCGCUCACCAUUCCCCCCUCUUUUGUUGGUUGCACAUUGUUUAGUUUAAUUAUUAACUUACGUAAUGAGCUUAGCUUAUUGGAAGGCUCGAAUUCAGUUCAAAUAUUUACACUGAUCAUUACAUAAAAGAAGUCUUUACAAUAUAUAUAGGUUCUACUGAUACACUCUUUUCAGUGUGAUCUAAUGAAAGCCAAAUAAAACCAAAUUGAAAGAACUGGAUUAAAUCAUACUUGCAAAAUGUUUUUCUUGACAUAUGUUUGAAUUAUACUAUCACGGGGGUUAAAUCCAAUGUGAUCAUAUGAGAACUAGACAAAAUUGGAUUGAAACAAGAUUUAACCAAAAGAAACUGAGCAAAAAGUGACAUAGGUAUGGAUCAAAUUCUAUUGCCAAGUUACUACUAGAAAAGCUUAAGCUAAAUAAGUGAAAAAACUCUUUAGACUAUAUAUGUUUAUGGACCAUUAUUACUAUUUUUAUAUAUUAUAGGACUGAUAUUUUUGGCAUAAUGAAAUAAUUCAUAUAUAAAUAAGUUGUGAUCAGCAAGAUUUUGUUGUCCUCUGUGGGCCUAAAUGCAAUAGUUCUAUUGGAUAUGAUUAGGCUGGUUUGGGACAAAAUGGUAAAAGUUGGUGAGAUCAUUGGUGGUCAUGUUAUUGGAUGUAGCACUAAUUAAUUUAGUCCCAAUUCAAGAAUGAAUAAAUAUAAGAUAAUUAAAGAUGCCAUCAUGGAAAGAUUGAGGAAGCAUGAUUAGUUUUUUGUGAGUGCUAUUAGAUUAGCUUUGGACAAAGUUAGGAGAAGCACUGAAUGGGUGCAUGUUUGGCCUCGCUUCUUGCGCUAUUUUUGUAUGAAAUGUACGUAAUUGUGUUGCUUGUUUACUACGUGUUUUCGAAUUGUUUCAUUGCACUGCAGCUUCACUCAAAAGCUGUUUGAAAACUUCCCCAGUUUUUCUCUUGUUUGAUGCUGUAAAAUUCUGGUCUAACCCGACCACUUUACUCAACCUGGUGGAUUUGGUCGAAUCUGAGUGAGCAAGUUCACUAGGCUGGGCAUAAAAUUACUUCGAAAACUAUGGUUUAGCAAGACAGAUCAUAUUUAUCUGAAAUUAGGGCUAGACCAUUCUGAUCUUUGCUCAAGUCUAUUAAGCACUUCUUGCAGAAGCAUGAUCAAGCAAACUGCUCAUUAAUUUGCUCUUCUCUGAGAAUCAGAGCCACACCGAUCCUAGGGCUAGUUAGAAUAGUGUUAUAUGUGGAGUCAUUCCUCGUGCCUACAUUAACAAUGAAAAUUCAAAACAGAUUUGUUGAAUAUAAUGAUUAAAUUGUUGGAAAAUCUUUCUGAUCUUUUAUUACAAUAUUCUUUAAAAACCAGUUCGGAAAUUUAAUUACAAGUUUUGAAAUAAUCCGAGAAAGAAAUUAAAUAACAAAUACUAUAAAGAAAAGGUUUAGAUAAGCUCUGUGAAUCGAGGCGCGCAGAGCACUGUCCUAAAAAUGAAAUUGUCCCUCCACGUGCGAGACUUCCCAGCAAUUACUUCUAAAGAUACAACGAUCACGUUCGACCCCGUCGGCACGCUUCCAAGGUGGCGCAAAAUGAACCUAACAAGCUUCAGAUUCAGUAAAAGAAAACUCGGCGAAAAUCCAAAAAGCAGAAAAAAGAUGAGAGGCUUUAGGUAUGGUCGGAUUAUUAUUUAACUCGUGCAACCUCGCUCCAUAUUUCAGUAUUACGAUAAAGAUAAAUAUAAGGAUUAAAAUAAAGAUAAAAACCAAAAAAUAAAAUAAAGCGGGUGUAAGGUCCACGCGCGCCGCCGCCUGCCCUGCCCGGCUCGUGGCAUGCGUGCGUGUAUUUAAACAAGAGCAUUACUCUCAUUUUCUUCAAGCAAUUAGCUUGAGAACAAGGGAAUAUAUAAAAACAACAAACAACCUUUUGGUUUUCAAUGUAGGACUAAACAUCACACGUGAAAAUUUUAGUUGGGCUCCCAAAGCGGCCCAUUAACAAUUAUUAGGUUCUUGAUGGGUUCUCAAGAGGCCUUAAUAAGUUUUAAAUCAUAACAAACCCAAUAAAAUCCAAUAUAAAUCAUAUAUUAUUCUCUGUCAGCUUAAGCCAGUGAAAAAUAAUAAUUGUUUUCAUAAUUAAAUAUGAUAUUAGAGUAGGAGGUCUUAAGUUCGAAUCUGGCUAGACUCCUAACAUUAUUAAUUUCCUCCCUUUGGAGAUAAACGGCUGUUUCAUUAUCAUUAAGCAAAACUAGAAAAAAAUAUAUUUAUACCAAAAUGAUUAGGCAUAGCUUCAUUGCCUCGUGAUGUUUGCCCAAUUCUGUUCAACUCUUUUUGGGAAAGCAACAAGUGCUCGCGAGGUUCACACUUUAGUUAGAAUCUGAACCAAACAAAUCCUAGAGCUAGUAAUAUAUUAUAUUAUAACAUUCUGUGGUUUAUAAAAUAUAGUAUUUUACUGUCUCGUGGCUUAUAAAUUUGCAGUAUUACAAAUUCUAAUGGCGAAACAAAAGUAAAUCACAAAAUAGCAAAGUAGAAUUUUUUAAAUCACAAGUUAACAAAGUGAAAAUGCGUGAAACCUAGGGGUGGAAACGAGUCGAGCUCGAGCGAGCUUACUUCAGCUCAAGCUUGGCUUGAAAUUAAUUUCGAGCCUAAAUUUAGGCUCAAGCUUGGCUUGAAAUUAAUUCGAGCCAAGCUCGAGCGAGCCUAACUUCGAGUCGAGCAAGCCUGAGCCCUAAACGAGUUGCUUGAAAUUCUUAACAUCGUGCAAUCUAUAGUUUAAUUUUUAUAAAACAUUAUCUAAAAUUUAAUAUAAAAAAAAUCUAAUAGUUUAACGUACGAAAUGAAUGCAUGAAAUACGAUAUUAUAAUACUAAAAAAAUUAGGAAAAACUACUUUGCGAGGAAGUGAAAAAGAGAAAAAGAGAGCAAUUAGAGUAGGAUUUUGCUAAUUUGGUUUUGUGGGCCCAAUAAUCUAAAUUCUAUAUACAUAUAAUUAAAAUACAUAAUAAAUAUUUUUUAUAUAAUUAAAAUAUAUAGUAUAUAUAAUUAUAUAUAGAGAGAGUUUGGCUACUAUAUAUACUUUUAUGAGUAUAAACUUCUUUAUACUCAUAAGUUUUUGACCGUUAAGCCUAUUCUUUUGACCAUUUCCAUUUGUUAAAUCAUACUAUUCAACGAACCGCCCACUGAAUCUUAGGAGACCACUAUCAUUCUAAUCGCACAUUCAACAGCUGAAAAUUUAUAAGUAUAAAAAGGUCUAUACUUAUAAGAGUAUAGUAACUCAACCUUAUAUAUAUAUAGAAUUAGGCUACUAUACUAUUAAUAAUACAAACCGCUUGCUAUUAGAUUUUUGGCCCUUGAAUGAAGGGAUGUGCGGUCAGAAUGAUAGUAGCCCCCCCUAGGGCUGAGUGGGUGGCUAGUUGAAUAAUAUGAUCUAACGAAUGAAAAUCGCCAAAGGGAUAGAUCUAACGGCAGAAAAUUCGAUAGCACUAAAUGCUUGGUACUAUCGAUAAUAUAAUAGCCGAACUAUAUAUAUAUAUAUAUAUAUAUAUAUANAGAGUCUGGCUAUUAUACUAUCGAUAGUACUAAGCGCUCUGUACUAUUGAGUUUUCUCCCGUUAGAUCUGCCUAUAUACAUAUAUAUAUAUAGAGUCUGGCUAUUAUACUAUCGAUAGUACUAAGCAUUUGGUACUAUCGAUAAUAUAGUAGCCGGACUAUAUAUAUAGAGAGAGAGAGAGUCCGGUUACUAUAUUAUCAAUAGUACAAAAUACUUGGUGCAUGCUAUCGAAUUUUGUACUGUUAGAUCAUAUUAUUCAACUAAUCACUCACUCAACCCCAGAGGAUUACUAUCAUUCUAACCGCACAUCCCUUCAUACAAAGGCCGAAAACCUAAUUGUAAGUGGUUGGUAUUAUUAAUAGUAUAGUAGACUACAUAUAUAUAUAUAUAUAUUCUCGAGCUUUUCGAGCNUAUAUAUAUAUAUAUAUAUUUCGAGCUUUUCGAGCUUAAUUCGAGCGAGCUGAGUAAUACUCAAGCUCGGCUUGAAAAUAAUUUCGAGCCUAAAUUUAAGCUCAAACUUGCUUGAAAUUAAUUCUAGCCGAGCUCGAGCGAGCCAAAUAUCGAGCCGAACACGAGCUGGCUCACUCAUUUGCCAGCCCUAGUGAAACCAUAUGGUUGGGCUAAUUGUAGUAGUUCUUACCUCAAAACAAAAAAAAACAAAAAAAAAAGUUUUGGGUUGAGUAAUUGGAGCCUUGAAAUCUAAAUUGGUCCAAGCAAAGCAACUUCAUUGUUGGCCUUCUUUUUUACUCAGGCCUAUGUGCAUGAAACUAAAUGGUCCUUUCUUAAUUAGGCCCAGUGAUGUGACAGAGAGUUGUAACUUUGUCACAAUUAGGCUCAGCAAGCUAAAAAAUUAAGUCCCAGUGAUUUAUUUCCUAACAAAUACAAUCUUAGUUUUUUUUUUAAAAAAAAAUCUCUUUGUAACAGUUAUACCACAUGGAAUAUAUUCCAAAUUAAUUUUAUUUUGCUUUUAAUUCUAGGUAAUAUGGUAAUUUUCUUUUGAAACAAUGUUUUUAAAAACUUUAAUCUUGUAUAUUCGUACAAUAUGCAGGUCUGUAAUUAAAUAUUGUUACUCUUAUAUAAAAUAGCUGUGUCGAAAAUUUUUUUUAACUAAAAUCUGUGGGAUCACAACUUAAAAUGCCAAAUCACUUAAGACGAGAGAGAGAGAGAGAGAGAGAGAGAGAGAAAAGAGAGAGAGAGAGAGAGUUUCUUUCUUUAUAUAUAUGUAUGAAUGGAAGAAAAAGGGGCUUGGAAGAACCAAUCAUGCGUUACUUUUUUUGAGUAAUACUACCGUUACAGUUAUAAUCUAGGGACGCGAACUACAACAAAAAAAAGUAUAUAACGAUAUUUUUAAAUAUUGAUACAAGUCAAAAAAAAUACUGCUGAUUAAAUUAUCGAUACUUUUUUAAAGUGUUGCUAUAUAUGGGAUCACCGUAUGUGGGACCGUCUCAAUAUUUGGUAUCCACUCGUUCUGCGACCUGUGGCGAAGGGACACGUGGCGAUCGUAAUCUUUUAUGUUCCCUGCGAGAUCCUGGCGGCAGAAUUCCAACCGUCGAAACCUUAUCUCGUCGGCUGCUGCGGCGAAGGAGGAGAAGGAGAGAUGGUGAUCAUUUUUUUUUUUUUUACCUUUUCUAUUUGUAGGAUUAGUUGAGUAGAGGAAUUUUUUAUUUUUGAUUGUUUUGAGUUUUAUAUUUAGACCUUAAUAAAUUGUUCAAAACAAUUUUGACAUAAAUAUGAUACUUACACAAAAGUACUCCAAAAAUGUGUUCCUAUAAUAUAAUCUAAUUCUGUUGUAGUAGCGUUCAAUUCAAAAUAGAAAUUAAAAUAAGAAUAAAAUCAAAAUGGACUGAAGCCGAAAAUGGAAUGCUAAAAUUUCGCAAAAUGUUUGGUUUAGAGUAACAGUCGUAAUUAGAAUAAUUGCUUUUUAAUUUUGAUGGUUUGAAUAAAAUUUUAUCUGUAGUUCAGUAACUAAUAGUAUAACUAAUUCAGUCUCCAAUGCCUCGGUGACCAAAUUUCGGAGUCCUAAAUAAAAUUUUAUCAGUAGUUUGGGGACUACGGGGGGUGUUUGGUCUUUCGAAAAAGUACGGACAAUUAUUUUUCGGAAAAAAAAAUGUUUUUAUUAAAAACACUCUUUUUCAUAAUUUUAAUUUUUAAAUUAAUAAUAAUAAUAAUAAUUUUUUAUAAAAUUGAAAAAAAAGAAAACAUACUUUCCCUAUAAAUAAAAUAUAUGCGAUAAUUACUUCUACAUUCAAAAAAUUAUUUUAUAAAAUAAUUUUCGAAAAAUCAAGCAUUUCUUUUAUUUCACCAUCGUGAAAGGAUAAUUAAUCUAAAGACGUGUUUGGUUCGAAGUCCGAAUCGGAAUCGAAAUCGGAAUCAAAAUAACCUGGAAUCGGAAUGGAAUUACUCAUUACCUAAUUCUGUUUGGUUCAUCAUCUGAAUCGAAAUCGGAAUAAAUCAUUCUCAUUGUAGGUGUUUUAUUCAGGUGGAUAUAAAAAAUAUAAUCAAAUUAAUAUACUAACAUUAUCUUUAUAAUAUAUUAAUUUAAAUUCAAAUUAAAAAUUAAAUAUUAAAAAAUUACAUCAAAAUUUUCAAAUAAUGUCAAAAUUUUAAAUCUAUUUUUUAAAAAAAAAUUAAACUUUGAAGUUGAGUGGAUAAUUCAAAAUAUGAAACUAAAUUUUGAUUUAUUCAAAUUCAAAUUUAAAAUUACAAUUUAAAUUUUAAUUUGAAUCCAUAAAUUUAAUUUAAGUUUGAAAUAAAAUUUGAAUAAAACUUUAUAUAAAUUAAAAUUUAAUUUAAAUUCAAAUUCAUAAGUUAGAUUUGAAAUACUUGAUUAAAUUUUAAUUUUUAAUUUAAGUUUAAAUUAAAAUUUAAAAUUAUAUAUUUAAUUUUUAAAUUGUAACUCAUAUUUUAUUUAAAAAAGCUGAAAAAAUAAAUUUAAUUAAAACAAAUAUCCAUUCCGUCCGGAUUCAACUUUCAAUCCGACCUUCUAGGCCGAAUUGAAAAAAGGGGUGAUUGGGGAAUUCCAUUCCACUCGGGAAUCGGAAGCGGAAUGGGACUCCCGCGUACCAAAUACCCACAAACGGAUUUACCCAUUCCGAUUCCGAUUCCGAUUCCAAUGUAAAAAAGAAGCGAACCAAACAUGCCCUAAGGGUUAAUUGCAUACAUCUGAAUGUAAACAUAUUGAAUAACAAAUAUAUCCUUACAAAGUUCAAUCAUAUGUCAUAUGUCAAAUUCUAAUAUUUUCAAAUAUGUCUCUACCGUUAAAAUCCGUUAGAAAAUUUUAAUUAACCAUAUGUCAAAUACUUAACUUUGGUUAAUUUAUGAGAUAACUUGAUAUUUUUGUCCUUCUUAUAUUAUACUGUUGUACCUUUUUGAGUGACAUAUUUGUGGUGGCAAAAUUAUCAUUUGAUUUAAAAUAUAAAACAGUAUUAUAAUGAUAACAAAACAGAGAAAUAUAUAUAAAAAUAUUAAAAUUUUUUUAAAAAUAAUAUAUAAAAAUUGAAUUUUAUAGAAAAAUAUUUCUUAUUCUGACAUAAUGCAUUUAACCUUUUUUUUAUUUUUUAUUAUCUAUUAACUUAUAUGAAUCCACGAUGUUUUUUGUCAUGUGGCAAGUUGUUCUUCACCCUCACCAUUAUUUAACCCUUUCUAUUCCCUUCAUCAAACUUUUAUAAUUAAUACAUUUAAUUAAUACAUCUAAACGUUAUCAUUACCAAACUUUCAAUAACAAGUUGUCCUUCACGCAUUUGACCUUUUCCUUUUCCUUUAUAAAAUUUUCAAUUAAUAUAUGUAAUUAAUACAUCUAAACAUUUUCAGUAGCAAACUUUUCCUCCAACAGAUUUUUCAUCUCCAGUUAAUUCACUAAUUCUCUCUCCUCAUCUUUUUUCAUACACCGUCGCCUUCCUCCCUCCCUCCCUCCCUCCCUCCUUCUCUAGCUAAUACGCGCCCAUAUCCCCCCUCUGCUGCGGCUGAAGGGAUCGACGUCAUUUUCACUAUCAUCAUUACCGGAGAAGGAGUCGUCGAUUCUAUCUCUGCUACUAAUAGCAAGUGACCUUUUGUGACUGUGGUAAGUAAAAUACACAAAAGAAUAUUUUAUGUUAUCCAUCUUACUAUUAAUUAUUUUUUAUAAUUUUAUCUGCUCAAGCACGAGUCUUUUUACUAGUUUUUUUAAUAAAAGUAGAAAGUUGCUUGGUCCCAUCUCUGUCCCUUGGGACUUGGUAAUAGUGUGGCCGGCAGGACUGAUCGAAUCGACCUUUGGAGUCUUCCCUUCGUCCGCGUGGUGUCAGACUUUCACGAUAUCCGAUGCCAGUCCAGCCGGCACCAGCUAUCCAGCUAAUACAUCAACGCAAAUUAUAGCAUAAUCCGUGCAGUCAGUCAGUCGGUACGCACCGCCACCUGCCGAAAUUUCGGCCGGCACUCUAGUGCUGUCCUCGCCAAAAGACAAAACCAGCAGACUUGACUCUCCGGCAGCAAAAAAAAAAAAAAAAAAUUAAAUUAGUUUAAAUUUCAAUAAAAAAAAUCUAAUUAAAAUAAUAAAAUAAUGACAAUUUAGUUAUAUCUAAUUUAAAUUUAAAAUUUUAAAAAUUUGAUUGACGGUCUAAUUCGGAGCCGUUGAGGAGCGAAUGAUUAUUAGGCGGGCCGAAUUAUAAAACAUAUAUUUCAUCCUGUCAUGAAAGCGGAUCCUCAGAUUUGCAUCGUUUGUAUCUAAAAAAAAAAAUAUUAAUUGUAUAGAGAUUCUUGCAAAUAUAGUAAAUUACAGAUAUAUUCUACAAAAUUCAAUUUUUAAAUAUAUUCCUACCGUUAGAAUUUAUUAAAAAAAUUUAGUUAAUCAUAGGUUAAAUACGGAUUAAUGAAUGAGACGAGUUGAUCUUUUUAUCAAUCUUUAAUUAACAGUUGAAAUUUUUGUAGGGACAUAUUUCUAAUACGAAAAUGUCAUUUCACUUAUAAAAUAGACAGUAUUUUAACGAUAACAAAUCAGAGGAAUAUAUUUGAAAAUAUUAAGACUUUUGCAGGGAUAAUAUUUGAAAGUUGAAUUUCGUAGAAAUAUAUUUAUAAUUUACUCUAUUUGUAGGGAUAUGUAUAAAAUUAACCCAAAAAAAAGACACCUGACCACACAUUUUGAGACCGUUUGAUUAAAAAUUUAUAAUAUUUUUAUAAAUAUUACAUAUUUUAUAUUUGAACGGUAAUUUUGUUAUUAACUUAUCAAGUUACUUGGAUUGAAAAGUUAAGCACUAGUAUAUUCUUAUUGCUGAACCGCUAAUAAUUCUCAUUCAGCAUAGAAAUAAGAAUAUUAUUUAAUUCAUGAUAAUUUGAUAUUUUUACCAUCUAGGAAUCUAUAACGAUUCUACUAUUUCACUAACGUUUUCGAUAACUACUCAACUUGAGUUGAAUAAUAAUAAUUUAAAUUUUUUUAGUAUAAAAUAUAAAAAAUUAUCGAAAUAUUACAAAUCGUGAACGAAACAGAUUCGGCCAUCUCAUUUAUCCUCUAUAUUAAAAAUUACAUUAGCCAUUAUUAAAUGAGAAAAUGUUACCACCCUCCCUGCAUUUUGUAACAUUUUGUCAUUAUUUUGAAUAAGUAUAAACAUUGUGAAACAUGCUUGGAGAAAUAAACUUUGUGAAACAUGCUUGGAGAAAAGUUAGUAAUAAUUAAUAUAGUAUAAUCAUAUAAAAUAAAUAAAUUUUAAUAAAUUAUUAAUUUUGAUGGUAUUGGUAGUAAAAAGUUUUUUGGCCAAUUUGCAUAAAAAAUCUACUAAUUUUGAGCUUUUGCAAAACUGGGCUGUCUUUUUUGAUUUUACAGAUUCGGUCCGAAUUUUCAGUAAACUGACCAAAAUAUCCUUAUUAUUUUUUCUUUCUCCUCUUUCUCUCUCCUCUUCGUUUUUCGCGUUUUUUUUUUCUUUCCCUGGCCAAAAAAGUAGCGUAGGCAGAGACGGAGACGGAAACGGUCCACCUCGCCUCUCACCCUCAUGCUCUCUCCCUCGCCCUUGCCCUCGCCCACGCACCCCCCACCUUCCUCGCCUCCGACCUGCCGAGACCACGCCGCGAUUUUUUUUUUUUCCUCUCCGACUCUCCUCCACCGUCUCCGACGACGACGCCUUUCUUAUCCUUCCCCGCCCUUCUCGUUCUCUCCCUCUCCCUCCUCCUCUGCCGCCUCUGACGACGACGCAUUUUCGUCGACGCCGACACCGUGGAGGUUGCUGCGGCACUGCAGCCUCGGAAUAGGGGGUCCUUAGCGGCGUCGUCGCUGGCGCCGUGGCUGUUGGCAGAAAUGGGUGACCAAAAAAAUUAUAAAAGAAACAAGAAAAAAAAUAAAAAUAAAAAAUUAUAGAAAAAAAAGAAUGAAGAUAAAAUUACAUCGUUAACUGCAAAAAAAAUUAUAAGUUGCACUACUUAAGAUGUAAACUGCAGCUUUAAAAUAAAAAUUAUACUUUUUAAACGAAAAUUACACUCUUUGGGAGAUAUUUAUACUGUUUUUCCUCUUAUUGCAAUCUUUUAGAUAUAAACUGCAUCCAUUAAGAUGAAAGUUACACUCUUUAAACGAAAGUUGCACUGUUUCUCCUCUUGUUGCACAAUUUCUCCUCUUGUUAUAUUAUUUUUUAUCUUAAACUGCACCACUUUAAGAGAUAUUUAUACUGUUUCUUCUUUUGUUGCACUAUUUUUUCUCUUAUUACACUAUUUCUCCUCUUAUUACACUGUUUUCCCUCUUAAAGGGUGCAGUUUAAGAUAAAAAAAUAAUAUAACAAGAGGAGAAACAAUGCAAUAAGACGAGAAACAGUAUAAAUAUCUCUUGAAGUGGUGCAGUUUACAUAUCAAAGAGUGCAAGAAGAUGAGAAACAAUGUAAAUAUGUCUCAAAGAGUAUAAUUUUUAUUUAAAGAGUGUAACUUUCAUCUUAAUGAAUACAUUUUACAUCUGAAAGAGUGUAAUAAGAGGAGAAACAGUGUAAAUAUCUCCCAAAGAGUGUAAUUUUUAUUUAAAGAGUGUAAUUUUUAUCUUAAAGGUGCAGUUUACAUCCUAAGUAGUGCAAAUUAUAAUUUUUUUUGCAGUUAACGAUACAAUUUCAUCUUUAUCCUUCUUUUUCUAUAAAUUUUUAUCUUUAAUUUUUUUCUUACUUCUUCUAUAAUUUUUUUUUGUCAUCCCUCUCUGCCAAUGGCCACGGCGCCGGCGACGACGCCGCUAAGGACCACCCGUUCCGAGGCUGCAGCGCCGCAGUGACCUCCACGGUGUCAGCGUCGACGUCGGCGUCGGCGCCAGCGAAGAUGCGUCGUCGUCGGAGGCGGCAGAGGAGGAGGGAGAGGGAGAAGGAGAGGACGAGAAGGGCGGGGAAGGGCGAGAGAGGCGUCGUCGUCGGAGACAAUGGAGAAGAGUCGGAGAGGGGGAAAAAAAAGAAUAUCGCAACGCGGCCUCGGCGGAAUCGGAAGCGAGAAAGGUGGGGGGUGUGCGGGCGAGGAUAAGGAUGUGCCGGACAAAAUCGAAGUAGGCCGCCUCCGCCUCCGCCGCUCUCUGGGAAGAGAAAGAAAAAAGAACGAGAGAAAAAAAAAGGAAAGAGAAAAAGGUAUAAGGGUAUUUUGGUCAGUUUGCUGAAAAAGCGGACCGAAUCUGCAAAAACGAAAAAGGUGGUCCGCUUUUACAAAAGCCCAAAAUAAAUGAAUUUUUUAUGCAAAUUGGCCAAAUUUUUUUAUCCAACAUUUUUCUCAAUUUUUUGAGUUAUAGAACAAUGUGAUAUGUCAAUUUGUUUAGAUAAAUUUUGAGAUGAUAGGUAAGUGCAUGAUAGUAAUUGAUAUAAUAUUUAAUGCAAAAAGAUAAUUGAGAAUGGGACUAAAUUGCAAGGAGAUAUUUUGUAACUUUUUAAUCGGAUGUGUUUUAUUGUUUUUUUUUUUUAAGAAAAGAUGCCAUUGUACUAUUAGUUAUUCACCUAUUAAUCUUACUAGUUAAGGGACCCGCGCAAUGCUGCCGGUAGUUAUUUUAAAAUAUAAUUUUAAAAAUUAGUUAUAAAAAUUAAUUUCAGAAUUUAAAUGGUGCAAUAAGUACAUCAAAAAAUUUUAGUAGGUAUAGUAGUCCCCCAUUAUAUAGUUAGUGAAAUAAUUUUAGUAGGUAUCGUAGGUCUCCAGUAGUUAGUGAAUGAGAAGAGAAAUUAUUAUUUAUGAUUCUCGCAAUUAAUUUUCAUCAAAUAAAAAAUUAACUUAAACAGCAUCAAUUUUUGUUAUUUGUUAAAGUACAAUUUAUAUGUGAAUGCUCAGUAUUACAAAAUUAAUAUUUAUAUUUAAUACCAGUAGUCUAAAUUAUUUAACAUUUAUUUAUAUAUUUUAUAUUUUAUAAAAAUAAGUAGUAAAUUAUAUAAUAAAUUAUUAUAUAAUAAUAUAUCUAUUUACAAAUAAAAUAUUAUAUAUAAUAAAUAAAUAAAUAUUUAUAAAUAAAAUUUUAUAUAUAUAGAAUGAGAGGGAUGUCUACUGUGGACUUCACUCUCACGUGGUCCACGAGGCCGAAAUGGCCUCGUGAACCCCAAGAAAACCCCCCUAUGAGCCCCGCUGUUUUUUGGCUCCGCACAGACCCGCGCCGCGCCGCGCAGUACCGCGCCCGCGCCCGCACCCAGCGCCGCGCCGCGCGCCCGUGCGCCCGCCACGGUGCGCUCCACGCCGGCGCUCGCCCGUGCCCCGCGUCGGCUCGCGUCCACGCCAGCGACGGAGCCGCCCCCGCAUCAGCACCCGUCCCUCGCCGCGCCCGCGCCCCGCGUCGGCUCGCAUCCACGCCAACACCGGAGCCGCCCCCGCGCCAGCGCUCCCCCCACGCCGCGCCCGCUCCUGCCCGCGGCAGCGCCCGCGGCCCGCGCCCCUCGCGCGCGCCUCGCCAGCCCCUGCGCCAGCGCCCGCCUCGCGCCGCGCCCGCGCCCCGAGCCGCGCCCGCUCCCGCUCCCGCUCGCGGCUACGCCCGCGCCAGCGCCCGCGCGCAGCGCCCUCCCCCGCGCCUCGACCUCCUCGCGACUUGUCUGCAGUUAUUGAGGAAUAAUAUAUAGUUAUAGAUACUAUUAGUUUUAUAUUUCAUAGUAUUUUGUUUGUAGGAAUUUUUUUUUAUUAGUAUAUGUUUGGUUGAACGGAAAAAAAUUCAUAUAUGUUUGGUUGGUGGAAAAAAUGAAUAAAAAAAAUAUUUACAUAGCUCAAGUUCUCGUUUAUGUCAAAAAAUAGCAAAAAAUAAAAAUUUCAAUUUUUUCUCAAAUUUAUAAAAUUACCUGUAUGAAAAUUUUUUUAAUAUCGAAUCAAAAAAUGAAAAACUUUUUUCAUACUGAAAAUAAUAUUAUUUUGGUUCGUUUUACGCUAAACCAAAUGUCUCCUUUGUAUAUUAGCAUUUGAUGAUGGCAUGGAUUUAUUAUUCAGUGCAACUCAAUGCUAGGGAUGUCAACGGGUAUGGAUAUCUGAAAUAUUGCCCGAAUCCGAAUUUGAACGGGGCGGGUUUACCUGAGCUAAACUGGUAUGGAUUCAGUUAUGGGUAUAGAAAAUAAAAUCCGAUGGAUAUGGAUACGGAUAUGGAUUUUGUAUUUACCCGACCCAAACCCAAACCCAAAUCCGAAUAAAUUAUAUAUAUACAUAAAUUUAUUUUUAUUUAUUUAUAUAAUAUAUAAAAUAUUUAAUAAUUUUUAUUCCUUAGAUCUUUAUUCAACAGUAUGAAUUUUUAAAACCCGCCGGGUUUGGAUUUCGAAUUUUUGGUCGGAUACGGAUAUGAGUAUGAAUUUUUAAAAUCUGCCGGGUUCGAGUCUGGAUACAAAUUUUAAUUUGAUUUUUGGGUUCGGAUUCGAAUUUUUAAAAACUCGAUACAAACCCGACCCGUUUACAUCCCUACUCAAUGCUGGAUGGAAAUCACAAGAGUCACAUGAGCCAUCAUUCCAAUCAUAAGAUUGAUAGAUUUACUACUCUGAAUAAGAUUGAUUAUAUAUAUUUACAAGUAUUGACGGAUUACUUGCCGAGUUUAUAUUUGCUAAACUUGUUGGGGCUCAUUGUAGCUAAGUGUUGAAUAUAAAAAUAUAAAAUUACCAUUCUUUACUAGCUUAAGUUUUAAAGAAUAACGAUUAUUUCGUAUUAUUUAAUAUGAUAUCUGUAACGAAAUAGCGAGAUCCGAAGAUUGGAAACCCACUACUUCAAAUAGUGGAUCAAGAAUACCACUAGCCCAAGAUCAAACCAAACUAGAGAAGAAGAACAAGAACAAUGGAGAACAAGACACACUUUCUCUUAAUUAAAAUUAAAGGGAUUCUCACACACAUAAGCUUAGUCCAAAAGGUGGUGAAAAUACNAUUAAAAGUGAAAUUUAAAUUAGAGGAAUUUCAUAUUACUAUUGAAAGUUUAAAUUCAAUGAUCAUAUUGUCAAAUUAUUUGAAAAUUUUCUUAUAUGAAAUGCCAAAUUAUGAAAGGAAAGAUAGAGAGAGAAAAAGGAAACAAAGAAAAAAUAAAAAUUUUGAAAAUAUAAUAGAUGUAAAAUGACUAAAUUGCUCAUAUAUUAAAAGACAAAAAUAUCCUUUUUUGAGGUACCUGGUAACCGGUAUCUCUCCCAAAGUGACCUACUAUUGCAGGUCACAAUAUUAAAAAAACUAAAUCUGAGCCGUUGAAUACGCGUAAAUGAACGGUAAUCAAAAAAAAAAGUAUAGAAGCAUUACUCAUACAAAUAAUUACCUUACCUUUAUGUCCCUAUUGAAUAUGCUUUAUAAUAUGAAGAAUUCGUGAUGCACAACUCAAAUUCAUUAAUUUCUAGAUGCUUCCUUUCAAGAAAGUAUCUAAGUCUGUUUUUAAGUAAAGUGCAGUGUCUAAUACCAAAAUAAUCUAAAACCAAGAGAUACCUGCAUAAUGCAAAAUCAAGGUAGCAGCAUAAUGCAAAGUCAAAGUUGAAUGCGAACUGCAAAUUAGACAAACAAUUUGAGUUUGAAUGCAAAUUUAUUCAGUCUCAUGACGAAAGAACAUACAUUAGGUAACUACGUCAAUAAAAAGAGUCUUACUCACUUUGCUUGGACUAGGAUAAUUAGGAAUUCAACUCUAAGACCAACCUGAAACUCAUCGAGGAAUAAAUUAAAAACCGACUCAAGAUUCUGAAGAAAACUUACAUGACCUACCAAAGUCUAGCAAAUAAAAAUAGGUGGAACUGAGAUAUUUAAUGUACAAAAUAUACCUAUAUAUAGCAGGUGACCCAAAUGACUGGAAGGACAUCAUAACGGUAUAUUUUAGUUACGUACGUUGAUUUCAGUUUAUUUGGAUAGCAUAGUAUUUUACUAUUAAAAUGUUCAUAAUAUCUGUUCAGAAAAAACCACCAAGCGAAGUGUACGGAUAGAUAUUUUUCACUCUAUAAGGACAUUGAAUUUCUUUCGGAAAAGACUACUACCACCGGAAGAUAUGAUUAUACCUCAGGAAUGGUGGCAAAUCAGACAAUUAAUAGCUUAUCCUCAUCUUUUCCGGCUGAGGAUGAUACUUUUAUUGGAGUUUGAAUGUCAUAGAUUAAUUUCUUAGUUAAUCCCUCCGAAGCAAGGUUAUCAAGCUCAUCUACGAAUGUCAACCUUACUGUUGAUGAUAUCUCACAUUCUGUGCUCAAUAGUGCUAGUGAAUCUGAUCAUAGCAUUGCUAGGAAGAGAGCUCGAUCCCCUUUGACUCAAAUCCUUCAUACAAACAUAUAACUUCAUCCGGUCAAAGGAAGAAAAGCGGUAUAGAAAAUGAAGCAAUAGUGGAGAUUGUUGAAAUAGGAAAACAAAGUUUGAUCUUGUAUGAUAAAUUUAUCAGCACAAGAUUACCAAUCGAUCAAAUAUUCCUUCUAUCGAUGAGUGCAUGAUGAGAGUUUUUAAUCUGCCGAGGAUAACCAAUAAGUAUAUUUUGGCGGCACGCAAUGUAUUAAAAAGAUGACAAGAAUAGACAACUUUUUAUGAUCAUGAAUGACGAACUUGCAUUCAUAUGGCCGGGUCAACUGCCAAGUCGCAAUAGUCAUAUUUUCCUGGCUUGUAGAACUAUGUGCUUAUGUUGGUUGUAGUUUCUUCAUUGUUAUUAUCUAUAUGUUGUGUUUAGGUAUACUGGUUAUGUAUUUGUUUUGGUUAUCUAUAUGUUGGGUUUAGUCAUGCGGUUUAUCUAUUUGUUGUGCUUAUGUAUUUUCUCAUAUUAUGUUUCAAGAAAUAUUACUAGUUCUGCUUGUGUUUGUAUAAAAGUUUUAAUUGACUUAUCUGUGUCAUACUAGACAUUUCUCUUCAGUUAAUUAAGUUUCUAUGUUUAAUUGCUUGAUUGCAAUUUUGUUAUAGUUUGUGAUAUCUUCUUGAUUACGUUGUCUUUGUGGCAGCAGUGAUGGGUGAGUGAUUAUAUCGUUGUAUUUUUUUUUAAAACAACUGAUGCAAAUCUUAUAAUAAUAUUAGAUAAGAAUAAUAGCUAUUGGGGUCAAAUAUUUGCGCUCCUUGACCAGGCUAUAUAGCAUCCCAUAUUAUAUUGUACAGGUGGUAAUGUUGUAGACAACCUUUUAGCAACCAUUAGUUAAUUUGUGACAUUUUUGAAUGGUCAUUUAGCAGAGAGAGAUUACCAUUACUUUAAAAUGACGACCACUACAUUUAUUGAGCUUCGAGUUGAGCUAAUUGGAAGGGGCUUGAAAAAUGAGACUAGGAAUAUAAAUGUUGAUGAACAGCUACAAUUUUUUUAUUUUGUGCAAGCCAUGAUGUGUCUAAAAGGUGGCUGGCAGAAUCGUUACAAUAUUCAGAAAAAAUAAUUAGUAGACAUUUUAACAAUAUGCUAAAAAUUAUUAUAUAAUAUUGAAAGAUGAAUAUCUUAAUCUGCAGUCAAGUAAUCCUUUUGUGUAUCCAAAAAUUAAAAAUAAUUUAUAUUUUUAUUCUUUCAAAGUUGAUUAUAUACUUUAUUUAUGCUAAAUAGACCCUUUUUAGGUGCAAUAGAAGAUCCCUAAUGGAGAAAUCUUUUUUUCUUUAAUUUCAUAACUAGUGUGCUUUUUUUUUUUUUGGCCAAUUUGCAUAAAAAAUCCAAUAGUUUUGCACUUUUGCACUGUUAGAAGGACUGUUGCACUAUUCGAAGGGCUGUUGCACCAUUUUUUCUCGUGUUGCACUAUUAUUUCUUUUGCGGGUCGUGUAGUUCUUACCAUUUAACUUCAGCAAAUUUAAUUUCUUAGCGUCGAAUAGCAAAUACCGAGGCUGGCAAAUAGCAGGGCAGUUUUGGUCCGAGUUUCGAUGAGAGCGAGAUUGCGUAAAGCGCAAGGGGCGUAUUUAAUACCUGCGAGAACCGUACGUUAGGGUAUACGUAUCUCAGGGAAUACGCGAGCGGCGGAGGUAGACGAGGAAAUUUUGGUCAGGUGGCUGAAAAUUCGCCCCGAAUUUGUAAAAUCGAAAAAGAUGACCCGUUUUUAAAAAAAUACAAAAGUAGUAGAUUUUUUUAUGCAAAUUGAUCUCUUUUUUUUUUCAAAAUUUUUAAUCAUGAAAUUACCAGCUAAAUGAGGUCAGUCCACUAUUAUAUGGGUAGGGUUCGUGGCUUCGUGAUAUAGAUAGAUGUAGCAUUCCAAUCAGACGUACGGCCACCGCGUUCAACGUACGUAAUGCAUGCUCUGUCGCGUCCUUUUCUACGGCACGGCACAUCUUUAGUUUUUUUUUUUUUUUAACACAAUAAUACCACAGCCACGUGUGAAAUUGUUAUAGCUUAAAUUGAUCAGACCCAAUAUCUGUACGUUCUAAAUUCAAAGAGUAUAUAUAAAUAGGCCACAAAAACUUAGAGACAAUUAUUUAUAUAUUUCUAAAAAAUUUUAAACUCUUUUAUUUACCCACUUUUGAAGGCUAAUAUAAAAAAUAUAUUUUUUAAAAAUUUUUAAGUUUUUUUCACGUAUACUUUUAGAGUUAAAUUCAGUUAGUGAACUAUUAAAAAAAAACCGUUAAUUAUCUUCAUAAAAUUAUUAUUUUAUUAUUUCAAAUAUAUUCUUCUUCUGUUAUCAAUUUUUUAUAUUUGUCAUUGAAUUAGGGAUGAAAGAAAUAUUGUGACUUUUUGCUCUUUUAAAAUUUAAAUAUAUCUUUCUACGAUCACCAAAUUUUUUUCUUUGUCCUUAAAUUAAGACAAAAGAGGUAUGUUUUUGAAUUUGUUUAAACUCUAAUAGAAAUUUAAGUUAGAUUCAAUCCAAGAUGACUUAGCGGAUACUAAUAGCGAAAAUAUUUUUAAAUAAUGAAGAAAUAUACAAGGAUAUAUUUGAAAUAAAAAAAAUAUAGGUAUAUAAGAUAUUUUAAAAGUUUUGAAGGAUAUAUAAAUAAUUAUCCCAAAAAUUUAUGAAUUUAAAAUUUACAUGUAUACAUAAAGUAUAUGCAUAGCAUUGUUCUUAAUUAAAUAUUUCUUUUUGAAUUGUUUAGGCACCUCUCGAAGAACUAGCUAGUAUUGUUAUUUGUUAUUUUCACAUUUAAAUUCCCCUCAAAACGUACGUAGAUGAUUAAUGCAUGGUUCUCGAUAUUAGUUGGUUUAUCUCUCCAAGAAUUCCUCAUAAAUUAAUACCAACAAUUAAACAUUUCUAGUCAUUAAUCCAGGAUACUCAAAUUAAGUAGAGAAAGCACUUACACAAAUUGCAGCAAGGAAAAUACAUUAAUUUUAACCAUAACCAAACAUAUAUUGCACUGCUUUUAACACAUCUUUACUUUAGAGGAGAACAUAUAUUAAUUGUUGUAGCUUUACUUUGGAACUUCUCCUCCAUUGUUCACAUAAAGUAGCUUCUAGCAGUACUAGAUUUCCAUAUUACUUGCAAUAAAAGUACCAGAGAUGCUACAUUUGAUAUUUCCCCUCUCCAGUUUGCUAAACAAGCAUCAUAUACAUCUUCUCUUAUUCUUCUUUUUUCAUUACUACCAUCUUACAAAUCCCUUUGUCCUUAUCCUGCGAAUUGAAGUAAAAAGAAGCUGUAAUUAGCUAAAGCAUUGUUUGACUCAAGUAAGUUGUAAUAAUUAAUAUAUGGAGACCCACCACAAACUAUAUAAUUAGCACCUUAUGAGCUUCUCUUUUUUUUAAAAAAAUAAUUCUAGUAAUUAGUUAAGUUAUACUAUUUUAUUAAUAGUUAAUUAUUAUAGUUUUUAUUUACUAAAAAACUAAAAUUAUUGAAUUUAAUAAAAUUGUUAGUUAAACAUGAUAAAAUUCAUAAUUAAUAGGACUAAAUUACUUAUUUUUUAAAAAAAAUAAAGUUGAGGAAGUCAUUUCAACAUGGGGUCUCCAUAUAUACAUUUUUACUCAAAAGCAAUUUUGUUGCUAUUUUUUUAUCAGAAAUAUUAGUUUAGUUAGGAAGGGCCUUACCACCAUUUCUCUUGGGCACUCUUCAUACAACAUGCUUAGUUGUAAUAAGGAGGGGGAGGAGGUGAAGGAUAUUGGUGGUAAACAUGUGGAGGUGGUGGGGAUUUGUAUUUGUAGCCAUGAGGUGGGGGUGGUGACUUGUAAUGGUAUGGAGGUGGUGACUUAUGGUGGUGAUAAUGAGGUGGAGGUGGUGAGUUAUACUUGUAAAUAGUUGGAGGAGGUGGUGAGUUGUAGUGGCAAGGAUGAGAUGGUGGUGGUGGUGACUUGUAAUGGUAGGGGUGAUGAUGAUGGUGGUGGUGAGGAGGUGGUGGUGACUUGUGGUGGUAAAGAGGUGGUGGUGGUGGUGAUUUGUGUAUGUAAGUAGGAGGUGGUGGAGGUGGUGAAUUGUAAUGGUAGGGGGGGAGUUGAUGGUAAGGUGGUGGUGGUGGUGAUUUAUACUUAUAAAGAGGAGGAGGUGGAGGUGGUGACUUGUAAUAGUAGGGUGGAAGUUGAUGUUGAGGAGGUGGUGGUGAUUUAUACUUAUAAAGAGGAGGAGGAGGUGGUGGUGGUGACUUAUAAUGGUAGGGUGGAAGUUGAUGGUAAGGAGGUGGUGGUGAUGACUCAUGGUAGUGAAGAGGAGGUGGUGGUGGUGAUUUAUACUUGUAAAUAGGAGGUGGAGGUGGUGACUUGUAAUGGUAGGGGGGGAAUUGAUGGUGAGAAGGGGGUGGAGGUGACUUGUAGUGGUAAAGUGGUGGAGGUGGUGACUUGUAGAGGUAAUGGUGAUGAGGGUGGUGGUGCUCCUUGGGUGGUACUAGUAAUGGUGGUGGGGAAGGAGAGUAGAGGUAGUUUCCUUGUACCUUGAGAGGUAAACUCAGAGAGAGAAACACUAGCAAGAGAGUGAGAAGUAGGGAGGCCAUGGCCUCCCCCUUUUCCCCUCCUCUCCCUCCCAACAUUCUCACUAGUUUUGUUGCCUUGGUGGGUUGCUCUUCUCCUUGGAUUCUUUGGGCUUCUUUAUAUAGCCACAUUUUUCACCCUUGGUGCUAGAGAGUUCCAUGGGUAAUUAACUUGGUGUUUAAUUAACUUGGUGUUUAAUUAGCAAUGGUAGAAACCAUGAAAUUUAAACAAUUGCUUUGUAGUUUUUUGUAGUUUUUUUAUCCAACAAUGCUACUCAUACACUUCAAUCGUGAGUAUAUCUUACAUUCUAUUCAUCCAAUAAGUAUAAUAGUUUCAUUAAUCACAUUAAGUGGCUAGUAAAUGAUUCCGAUCUAUUAGAUCGAUAGGGUAUAAGAUGUACACUAAAUUGGAGUGUACAAGUAGCUUU
This 59737-nucleotide long non-coding RNA is filed under the name Ananas comosus (pineapple). RNAcentral describes it as "long non-coding RNA (ACOM_LNC001623)". Lineage: Eukaryota; Viridiplantae; Streptophyta; Magnoliopsida; Poales; Bromeliaceae. The record is from RNAcentral.